UUUUUGUGGAUGUCAUUUUUGCAAGGUGGGACUAGCAAUCUAGGUGGACCACAAAGUGCACAAUUCUUCAUGAAUGAUGUGCUAGAAAAGUUUGAAAAACAUCCUUUGCUGGGAAUUUCCCCUUCAAGUCUAUUGAAAGACACAUUAAAAUACUUUAGAUAUAAAAGUUGUUCCAAAGAUUUGGGAAUGACUCCAGAGAAAUUGUUAUUGCAUAAAUCCAAGAAUUCCAAACUAAUCAACCCAUCAAAUGAUUCAGGGAUACGACCAUGUAGUAUAUUAUUUGAUAAAUCUAAUGAAACCAAAGUUUGAAGACCCCCAAAUGUGGAUAAGAUAUCGCCCAUGAGAAGAUUCCUUGAUAAAUUUAGUCUCAGUAGACUCCUAAAAUUUCCAACAUCAAUAGCAUGUGAAUUGUGAAGACGGUUUGAUGAUAAAUCUAUUUCUAAGAUAUCUUUAAGACUCCACAAAGUUGAGGGUAUUGUAGAACUCAAUUUGUUGGAAUCUAACCAAAGAUAUCUCAAAGCAGAAAUAUUACCUAAACAAGAGGGUAUGGAUCCAUGCAGCUUAUUCAACCCUAAAUGCAUCUCGUAUAGUCUCUCCAAACCACAGAGGCUUUCUGGGAUAGGCCCUCCUAAUUUAUUAGAGGAAAGAUCUAGACCUUGCAGAUUCCGCAGUCCUCCUAUUGAUGCUGGAAUGAAUCCACUUAAUUUAUUAUGGCCAAGUUCUAAAACCAAUAAGUUGGUUAAGUUACCUAUUUCCAUAGGAAUAAUGCCUUGAAGCUCACAAUUAUAGGCAAGAAAGAAUUGAAGGGAUUUUGAAAGGUUCCCGAUAUAAGUAGGAAGAACACCACUCAAUGGAUUUCCCGAAACUCCUAUGGCUUUCAAAUUCCUACAAUUCGUCAAAGAAGAAAGAAAGCUCCACUCAUGAUCAGUAGCAGAUCCUGUGAUCAAAUUAUUGUCAAAGAUUUUGAGCACUUCAAGGUGUUUUAAGCUGCCUAGCGUUUUAGGGAUUGGGCCAGAGAAUAAGUUAUGUGACAAGGAUAGAAUCUUUAGCAUGGAAGCAUUGGAGAUAGAGUUGGGAAUGUUUCCGCUAAGUUUAUUUCCCCACAAUAAAAGAAUCUCAAGCUUUGGAGCAUUGGUGAUGGGUGGUAAAUUACCUGUAAAAUAGCAUCUUUUAGUAUACAUAUUCACAAAAUAUAUAAUACAUUAAAAUAAAAACUGUAAAACUUUAAAUCAAUUAAGAAUAAAAUUUUGGCAUGGAAAAAUGUGAUGAAAUCAAUUAGAAAGUUGAGACAUAAUAAGAAGUUUUGAGUACUAAUUAGUCUUUGUGAUUUGUAUAGACAAAACAUAUAAUACACUAAUAAUUUUUUAAAAUAUUGUAAAACUUGAAAUAAAAUAAAAAUAAAAGUUUGGCAUGAGAAUGUGGCAUCUAAUCAAUCUUAAAAAUGAGACUCACACUGAAUAAUAAUUAGUUAUGAUUUGGGAAACAAAAAUGUUAAAGCCAUUGUUUUUAAUGUAAACUGGUAUGAUUCUUAUCUAUUGGGUUAAUUAUUUAUUUUUAUUAAAUUAUAGUGUAAAAUUUAAAUAUUAUUAUUUGCUCAAAAUUUUUGUAUUUUUCGUAUAUUUGAAAUUCAAUCUUUAUAUUUUUUAUUUUCUGUGAUUUAGUCUCUCUACUUUUUUUAUUAAAAAUUUUAGGUUCAUUUAUUAACACUGUUAAAAAGUUUUUGUAUUAGUAUGACAUUUUGAAAAAUAAAAUAAACUUGAUAUCUAUGUUUUUAAUUAUUCCAAAUAUUGUUUUACUAUUUCAAGAUAAAUUAUUUGUGUCUAGACCAAUAUCUUAAGAACUAUUGUUGCAUGUUUAAUUAUUCUAAAAAAUUAUUGAUUGAGUCUUAGCUUGAUUGGCAUGUGCAUUGUUGCCAAUAUAAGAGAAUGUGGGAUCAAAUAUGCUGAAGUUCAUUAUCCUCCUGUUAUGAAUUGGGGAGUUGGUAAAGUAUUAAAUUUUGAUAUAUUUUAAAAUAUUAAAAAUUUAUUAAAAUAUUUUUUAUAAAAAUCGGUUGUACCACAAUAUACAAUUUUAAUAUCAAAUUUUUAAUAUUUUUAAAAUAUUAGCGAAUAUAUACUUUAUUUCAAGUUACACAAUUUUUACUAGUUUUUAACUUUUUUUAAAAUUUUUAUCGUCUUUUAUAAUUUCUAAUAAUUUUUUACAAUAUUUAACAAUUUCUAACCAUUUUUAAUAAUUUUAUUACUUAUUAAAAAUUAACAAAUUAACUAUUUUUUAUUUUUUUAAAACAAUUAUAUAUUUAUAAUGUAGUUAUUUUUUUAUAAUUUUAUUUGAAAUUUUAAAGUUUUUUUGGUUUGUUUUCUAGAUGAUGAUGCCAUCAUGAUGUCAUCAUAUGCCACAUGGCAAUUUAUGAUUAGUUGAAUAUCUCAAUUUAUUUUUUUAAUGUCCAAUGGACUAAACCAAGAACACUUGAUUAUGUUAGAGACUACACUAGGAAUGUUUGAUAACAUUAGGUACUAAAGUAGGAAAAAAAAAAAAAGGAGCAAUACGAUGUAGGGAGUAAACUGUGCAUUAAGCCAUUAAAAAUAUAUCUAUAAUAUAUAUAAAUGCAUGGAUUUUGAGAAACUUUUGAAAUGAUAAUUAUAUAGUCUUUGUUUUUUUACUAUAUUAUUGAAUUUGUUAUUUUAAAUAUUUUUUUAUUACUUUUAAGAUUUAUCAUAUGUAUGGAUAAGAAUUUUGGUUUUACUAAAAUAUUUGGUUAAAUAAAUUCACUUCAUAAGAAGAUUUAGCAUCCUUGUAAAUAACAAUUUUGAUUCUAUUAAAAAAUUAUUUUAAAAUAUAUAUAAUAAAAUUUUAAAAUUUAUAUUGAAUUACUUUAUACUUAAAUUAUUAUUAGAAACUUUAUCAUACACAUACGUGUAUGAGAACUAUGUAUUUAGAACAUAAAUUUGUGUUUUAAAAUAACUUAUGAUAAAUAAUGAAAUGUAUAAUUUGAAACUAUUUAAUAAAAACACAUGGCUUAUCUACAAUAUUAAAAUAAAAAUAGCUUAAAUUGUAAGCAAAACAUAAUUUAAACAUAUGAAUACAUUAAAUUAAGAAUACUAAAUGAAUACAGUUAUUUAUGAUGGUGUUGUCUUCAAUUCCUAAGUUGGUGUCAAGUUAAUUUGUGACAUCAUAAAUUUAAGGUUUUAUGUAUUGAUGUGGAUUCAAAUAUCACCAUUUUUUUUAAAAUAAAAUUUAAAAUAAAUACAUUUUCCACAUUGGUUUCUUUUCUUCUACAGACAAAGGAUUUCUAAUGAUUUUUUUUUUAAAAAAAAUUACUUAUAUAAAAUAGAUUAGUUUAUGCAAUAAAAAUAAUUUCUUUUUUAAAGUUUAAUAGAAAUUAAAAAACAAAAAAAAAAUCAAUUCAUAUAAAGCUUAUUGUUUAUUAUCAGAUUAAAAUGAUAAAAGUAUACGAUAAACCCAUACUUGACGGAAUGUUACCAGAUAAUUCAUUUUUAUUCUAGUAAAGCCCUUCAAGCUUGAGAAUAUGUUGACACAUAUCAUUAGGCAAACUACCUGAUAGGUUAUUGUUGGAGAGAUCAAUGGCCUUCAGAGAAGAAAUGUUGAAGAUCGAAGUUGGAAUCUGACCUGUAAGGCCUUUAAUUUCUCUAAUAUUAAGCAGUUCCAAACCAAGAAGAUUACCGAUUUCCUCAGGAAUUUGAUCUGCACACAUAGUCGAAAAAUCAAGAUGUGAAACUACCUAUUUUGUUAGCAUAAGUCAAAGAGGUUUUCUUUUCUGUUCUACAUAAUUUGCAGAUGUUAGAUUUUAAUAUUUUUAAGCAUAUUUGUUUUCAUCAAAUUAACUAUUUUGAACUAUUUUGCCUUGAAUGAAAUAAAAUGCUCAUAUUUUUGUUAUCUAUUACUAAUCAAACUCUUUUAUAAAAAAAAAUACUUUAAACUAAAGAAACCAAGAAAAUUCAAUACCUUCUAAGUUAUUCAACUCCAAAUAUAAUUCUUUGAGUCGUGUCAGAUUUCCAAUACUUCUUGGAAUGAUCCCCCUCAAUUUAUUAUCGGAAAAUGCCAAUAUUUUAAGGUUGCUGCAUUUGCCCAUACUUGAUGGAAUGUUACCAGAUAAUUCAUUUUUAUUCAAGUAAAGCCCUUCAAGCUUGGGAAGAUGUUGACACAUAUCAUUAGGCAAACUACCUGAUAGGCUAUUGCUGGAGAGAGCAAUAGUCUUGAGAGAAUAAAUGUUGAAGAUCGAAGUUGGAAUUUGACCUGUAAAGCCUUUAAUUGCUUGAAUACUAAGCAUUUCCAAAUUAAAAAGAUUACCGAUUUCUUCAGGAAUUUGACCUGCUGACAUAGUCGAAACAUCAAGGUGUUAAAUUACCUAUUUUGUUAGUGUAAAUCAAAGAGGAUUUUUAUUUUUCUCGUUAUGAAAUAAUAUGGAUAUGUUAGAUUCUAAUCAUAUUUAAGUAUAUAUUAGUUCUUGAAAGAAAGAGUUCUUAGUAUUUAUAUUGCAAAUAUUUUUUUUAAAAUUUAAAAAAAGGGGGGGGGGCAAAUGUGUUUAAACUAAAGAGAUCAAGGAAAAGGCAUACCAUCUAGGUUAUUUAACCCCAAGUAUACUUGUUUAAGUUGUGUCAAAUUCCCAAUGCUUUUUGGAAUGAUCCCACUAAAUUGAUUAAUAGACAAUUCCAAAAUUUGAAGGUUGCAGCAUUUGUCUAUACUUGAUGGAAUAGAACUUGAUAAUUCAUUUCUACUCAAGUAAAGCUCUUUAAGCUUGGGAAGAUGGACACACAGAUCAUCGGGUAAGCCACCAGAAAGACUAUUAUCACGAAAAUGAAUCCUUUUCAAAGAAGAAAUGUUAAAGAUGGAAGAUGGAACCAGGCCAGAUAAUUGAUUGAAUCCCAAGUUCAAGAUCUCUAGAUUGGAUAAGUUGACAAGUGUUUGAGGGAUUGUGCCUGUGAAGUUAUUAUUUCUCAUUUCCAACCUUUGAACUCUGUGCAAGUUCCCAAGCCAUGAUGGAAUUUCCCCAUUAAGACGGUUGUAGCUUAAUCGAAUGAUCCUCAAACGAUGCAAUUGGCCCAAUUCUUUAGGCAGAUGGCCAUAGAAAUUGUUGUUGCUCAGGUCGAGAGAAAAUAGAAAUGAAAGAUUUCCAAGGUGUGGAGGGAUAGUACCCCUAAGAUUCAUGUUUGUAAGAUUCAAAGCUACAACUCUUUCAUGGAUGAUGUCACAAGAAACACCAGCCCACUUACAAACAGAGGUAGAGUUCGUCCAAUUGUUUGCCAACACAUUUUGAGGAUCGACAAUGCGAUCUUUAAACUCAAAGAGUGCAAACUGAUAGGAGUUGAGAUUCCGGACUGUCAUAGCCAAGGAAACAAUGGAACAUUGUAUGAAUAAAAGUGAAAGAAGAUGAAAGCAAGUGUUGUAGUUCAUGAUGGCAAGACGAAAUAAGCCAGGAAAAGGGAAGUUGAAUUGAUGAAGAAAUACCCAGCCAACAUGCUUAAAUAGGCUUCAACCCUUGCACACUUCUCAUACAUAAAGUUCACUGCCAUUACAACAAGAAAACUCGUAUCUCCAUUCAUACCUAUCCAUACUUUAUUUGACUAACUUUUCCCUAACAGGUGUUCAGUAAGGAGACAAAUCACUUUGGAGCUAUUCACCGACUUCUCCAACCUUGGUUUCAAACUCCUAGCCCAUCAAUUCACUUUAAUUGAAACGAUAUACACGAGUCUUUCGGCUUAUAUUUUUAACUUACUACUUCUCUUUUUAAUUUAUUUUUUGUUACUUCUCAUAAUAUUUUUUGAGAAAUCCAAUAUUCCAGUCUGAAAUUUCUUCAUUGCCACGUCUAUCUCCUCGGUAAGUUCGUGGCUAGGCGGCCCACUUUGGGGGCAGGAUUGUAAUUUUAGUUCUAUCCGACUCAUUUUACUAUUUAGAAAUAUAAAAGUAAUAUUAUAUUAAUUUUUAUAUUUUUAUAAAUUUAAAUUUAAAUUUAAUUUUUAAACAAUAAAACGAGUCAUUUUUAUUUGCCUAGGCUAAAUUGAAUCAGGAGUGAAAAAUUUUUUAAUCAUAAUUUACUAUUAUUUUAAUUAAUUAAAUUUUAAUUUACUAUAACUAGUAGUUGCAAAAAAAAUGACAUUCCUUUAGAAAAAUGAGAACUUAUGAAGCAUUCAAUAAGAGUUGUUGGAAUACAUGGUAACGAAACCAUAAUUCGAUAUAAAACUAUAUAAAUAAUGUAAGAUUUGUGAUACCUAAAUUGUUAUGUUUUCUAUAAAUAUAUGGAGAUUUUUUAUUAGGAAAUAAUUUUAUAUAUCAACAUUUGUUAUUUUCUUUUGAUAGAAAUUUAAUUAUGUUAUCUGUAGAAAAAAAUAUUUAUAGAAAUAUCAUUAGUAGAAAAUCAUAAAUUUGUGUGUGGCAAAAAAUUUUCACCACCAAGAAAGGGACAAAUUAAACAACUUGAAAGUCAUUGGUUGUUUAAAAUAUUAGAUAAUAAUUUUAGUGAAGAAUCAUUAAAAUUAUGACAAAAUAACCCUAGAUAUUGUAGUAUUAAAUUAGAAAAUCUCAAUAAUAUUAUUAGAGUAAAACCUAUGAUGUAUCUAAACAAGAUAUAGAAGAAUUUGAUAUACAAAUUAAGGGUAGAAAUCAUACGGAAAUAAUAAAAAACAAGAAAAAGCUAGUAUGGUCAUUAAUUAUAAAAGAUUAAAUCAAAAUAUUAUUUUUUGUAGUUACUUGAAUUAAUCAGGAUAAACAAAAAAAAAUAUUUUAGUAAAUUUGACUGUAAAUCAGGAUUCUAGUAAAUCAUGCUAACAGAAAAAUCUAAACCUUUAACAGCUUUUAGUGCACCCAAUGGACAUUAUUAAUGGAAAGUGAUGUCAUUUGAAUUAUGCGAUGCACCACAAAUCUUCCAAAGACAAAUGGAUUUUAUAUUUAAUAAAUAUAAAAAAUUAUGGGUAGUUUAUAUAGAUGAUAUUUUGAUAUUUUCAGAUACACUAGAAUUACAUAAGAAAUAUUUAAAUAUUAUUUCUUAAGAAUUCAUAAAAUAUAGAAUCAUAUUAAACCCUAAAAGUAUGGAGUUAGAAAAAAGAGAGGGAAUUUUUAUAAUAGUGGAAAUAAAAAAUUGUCCUCAAAAGAUUGAAGAAAAAAAGAAGUUACAACAAUUUGUAAUAUAUUCCUCCCAAAUUUUCAGUUGCAAAUUUAUUACAGAAUUUCUUUGCCGACAAUAAGAAAAGAGCAUAUUCACAUUUUCGUCGCAAUUUCAACUAACAACCAAUCUGUUUCCCACUUUCCUUUUUCGGCCAAUUUCAAACGUAACUGUUUUUCGAAUUUUCCUCUUUAUUUCAUUAAUAAAAUGAUCAAUCUAUUUGUUUUUUAAAUAUAUAAUUUUAUUAAUAUUUUUUAAUUAUAAUAUAAGAGUUGUUGUUUAUUUAUAGUUUUAUUACAUUAUUUAAUCUCUUUUUUAUAUCAAGUUUUUAAAAUUAUAAUAUAAGAUUUAUUUUAUCAAAUUGUGGCUUAUCAAAUGUUCAUCUAUUUUAAUAAUAACUUGAGUUCGAAUCAUUAUCAUACCAGAAAGAGUUCCCUUUAUUCUUUAUCGUAAAUUUUAUAAGAAAUUAUAUUUUAUUAUAAUACUAUAUGUGUUAGAAUAAUAUUUUAUUGUGGAUGCCCAUAAUUCUCAAAGUUGUAACCUUGAAUGUAGUAACCUCAAUGAAAUUAUGAGGCUUUUAUAUUGUAAUCAAGCCUCUAUCUAUUCUUUGUAUUCUUUGUAGAAAAUAUGAAGUUGAUUUUACUUUAUUAAAAAAUUUAAAAUAAAUUAUCUUGUUUUUUUUUAAAUGAGUUAACCAAAUUAGCAUAUUUAUUUUGAUCUAAAAUUAUCCAAAAUAAUAUAAAAUAUUAUAUUAAUAAAAUUAAAACUAUGAAAUAAUUUUUUUUAAAGAUUAUUAUUUACUUUUAUCAAACAAUACAAUUAUAUUCAGUACUUAUAUUUACUAGUUUACCAAACAGUUUUCCAAUAUGAAUUCAACACUUAUCAAAUUCAGUAUUAAAAAUUCAGUGCUUAAUUUUUUAGCACUUAACUUUUCAAUUCAUCAAGCACGUCUAAUUCAAUUUAUACAAUUCCCUAUUUGUAUCUCUAUGAAUUUAUAAAAUCCUUCUCGCAUUUAGUUGUUGGGAUCUUUAUAUGAAGAUAGAUGCUUUUAUUUUUUAUUGGUUCAUUUUUAAUUGUAUUGAUUUAUUUAAUUUUAAUUUUGAUUAAUAUAUAUGAUUAUUGUGGAAUGGGAGUAAAAGUAUUUACUUCUCAUAAACUUUGAAAUAUUCACCCUGUCUACAUAUUAAUUAUUGUAAAAUUUGAAUUGAAAUUAUGCCAUAAAAGGUGGAGGUUAGAAAACCUCUUAUUGAGACCUUAUAAUAUUUUGUAAUUUUUUGUGUUAUGGUAUAUAAAAAAAUAUCUAACCAUAGUGAUUGAUUAGUAAUAUAAAUUUGUUAUUUGUUAUGUUUAAUAUAUAUUUUAUUUAUACUUAUUCAUUUUAUUUUUAUAUGAGUAAAUGAAGUGUUUGAAGAUUCGAAAUUUUUAUCAUCCAUGUUGAAAAUAAGUGCAAAAGUGUAUAUUAUUUAAAAUAAAUUACGCAUUCAUUAAUGUUAUGUGAUAAAAUCAUUACAUUUUCUGAAGAACUAAUAUUGCAUCAAACUGUAAAAAGCUCUUGAAGAGCUAAUAUUUAUCUCCCUGUGAUGCAAAAUCUUGUAAAACAUGAUAUUAUUUUUCAAAUCAAGAAGAUUUAUGUUGAAGGAAAUAUUUAUGUGUUUUACAUUAAAACCAUGGAUAGAAAUGACAUGAGACACUCAUGUAUUUGCAUUAUAAAUAUUCCUUGAAGGAAUACACUUCACUUGUAUGAUUGACAUAUGAGAUAAUAGCAAGAAGUUUAUAGUGUUGGUAUGGCCGGCUAGACCAUCUCAAGUCAAUAAUGAUGCAAAAUAAUUUGAAGAGAAUUUAUAUGAUUUUAUUGAAGAAUGAGAAGUUAUUUUCAUUUUGAUAAUUGUCAUCAACAAUAGUUCUUUGGAAAAAAAAAUAUUGAACUAACAUCAACUAAAGUUAGAGGUUGGUUCAUGGUUGCAUUUUUUGAUGAUAUCCAAAUAAUAUAUGAGCUCAUGUAUCACAUGUAUGCAACCCAAAGUUUACAGUAUUAUUUCUUGAAAUAAUUUGAUUCUACACAAUCUCUAUAGCAUGCAAUUUGUGCUAACAACACUGGUGCAUUAUAUCCUAAGCUUGAUUUUCGUAGUUUUAGCUGAGAUAAUAUUAAGUUGUCUAUGCCUAUAUAUAUUAUACUUAAUGGUUAGCAAAAUUAUGCCUCCAUUUAAUUGCUUAACCAUUAAUAUAAGAAUAGCUUUAAAAUAAGCAUGUAAUUUUAUUUGCAUCGAGCCAACAUGUAAGAAAUAUUUGUCCCAUGAGAAUUAGCUUUUAUUUAUAAGCCAAUAGGUUUCAUUUAUGACUAUUUGGAUGUAAAAUAUCUAUUUUAUAUUCCACCAUAAUGCACUAAGAUGGACCAUCAAGUAUGAAGUUGAGAAAAAUUAGAAUUUUUAUUUGAUGGUAAAAGUUGAAAAGAGAUAUAUAUUUAUAAUUUUGAAAAAAAUAGUCAUGUUGCAAAUUUUCUCAGUAUUAGAGGGAGACAAGUUGGACAAAUACGUAUAAUUAUGUCAUCACUUUUUGUGAUCCCUCACUAAUCUUAUGUGCACAAAGUUUGAAGGAAAAAAAUAAUUUGCUAGACAUGUUUAGUGAUGACAUUUAGAGAUUGUAUAUAUUGGAUGAUACAUAUACCAGCUAAAAUGUUCCAAAUAAUUAUGCGUCCUAGAAGGACAAAGUGAUAAAAAUAAUUUUUGGGCACGCUAGAAGGAUGAAAAACUAGUUGGUUCUAUAAAUAAAAAAAUUCUUGACAGAAAAGAGUAAGAAAUGAAUAUGGCCACACGUUAAAGGAGACGAGUACUCAUGAAGAGACCCAAGGUAUAACUUUUAAUAAAACCCCAAAAGAGGUUCAAUACAUGAAAUUAUGAAUAUAAUAAGUGUAAUAACCAAAUUUUUCCCGGGCCCAAUGCCAAACAAAUAAAACCCAAACCAAAUAAAUAAAAUAAGAGUCCAAAUUAUAGUCCGUUAGGGCCCAAUUCAGACCAGCCCACUAUUCAAUCAGACCAGCCGAACAACAAAAAAAAACCUAGUAGCCCACAGCCCAACUAAGCCUAAAAAAUUUUCAGCAAAAGAAAAAACCCUAGCUGCCAUGCUAGCCGCUGCUCCUGCCCUAGCCUCUGCCCACUAUCGUACGCCACCUCUGCCAUCACCAUUAGCCUCUGACACCUGCAAAACAGCAAACAACAUGCAACAACAGAGAAGAAGACGACAAGCAAAAAACAAAUCACUAAAGGACAAAAAUAAUGAUAACAAAUAGCCUUAGUUUGGCUAUAAAAGCAAAAAAAAUGAAAACUUUGUACUUCUUUGGCAAGAUUAAUACAAAAAAGAAAAGAUUUGAACUUUUUAGGGUGAUAUUUCAUUUUUUUUUACGCUUUAGAUCUAUUUUUUUAUUUCAUCUUCAUCUACGAAAAUAAUAGAAAAAAGACUUUGAUUUCAAGGUGAUAUUUUGUUGUUUUUUUAGAUCUAGUGUUUUUUUAUUUAUUUUUAUCUACAAAAAUAAAAAAAGGAAAAGAGAAACGUACCUAAUUCACCCCGUGGCUCCGUCGACGGAAGUCCCAUCGCCAUCGUCGGAAUCGGGCUUAAAAGGGGAAGGUUUUUAUUUUUCUUUACUUUUUUUUGGAUUUUUCGUCUCAAGAAAUGGACUAAGGGAGGGGAAAUGGCCAAAAUGGUCUUUUUCCGAUGAACUCUGGCAACCACAUGUGGCAGUUAACAGUGCCGGUGCUCGGUGGCUGCGGUGGAGCCAUGGUGGUGUCCCAUGGCCGGAUCUAGAGAGGAAGCCUUUAAGAGGGAGAGAGUUUCUAACAUUUUUUUUAUUUUCUAAGGCAGAAAUGAAUUUUUGAAAAAAAAAAGUUGGGUUUUAUAAGUGCGUGAAAUGGCGCCAUUUUGCGCAAGUGCACAUCGACGUCGAAACGACAUCGUUUACCCCUUUACCCGCUUGCCCGAGUCUGGCUCGAUGAAGGUCCGCAUAUUUUCAUGCCUGAUGGGUUAUUUCCCUGCCCGAUCCUUCCGAUUUUGGGCUUCUUCUCAAUCUGGUCCUGAUCCUACUUUUUCCCGCCUUUUAAAUUGUACCAUUUAAUUUCAUUUCAUUUUCAACUCGGUCCCUCGGCUGACCAAAGGAAAUGAUGCGCAUAAAGUUAAGGGAUAUUUUCCCUUUCAAUCCCCAAUAUUUUUAGAGCGAUGCAUUUUAAUCCCUAACCUUUCAUUCCAAUCUUUUACACAUAUUAUUUCAUUUUAUUCGUUUAUUUAUUGACUUAUCAUUUUUACCCUCUUUUUAUACUUAAAAAUAUAUAUUAUUUACACUAUUACUUGCAUUUUUUUACUAUUAAAUUAUUAUUUUUAAUGUAUUAUAUUCCCAUUAUUUUACCAUUUUAUUUAUUUUGAUACUUUCAUGUCACAUUUAUUUAUUUUAAUAUUGCCAUUAUUUAUUUUAUUUUAUUCUUAUGUUUUUUAGUAUUUUAUUAUUUCUUUUAUUGUUCACGGUUUUUUUUUCAUGUUAUACAUUUUUAUCUUUCUAAUCAUGCAUUUUUCCUUUUUUUAUUUUGUUUUAGGUUACGUUAUUUAUUAUUAUUAUUAUGAUAAUAUUAUUAUAAUUAUAUUACCAUUAUUAUAGAAUUCCUUUAUUUGUAUAUUCCAUUAUAACUAUUAUUAUUAUUAGUAGUCUUUAACUCACUUCUAUUUUUAUUAUUAUUUUUUAGAAUAGUAGUCAACAUGCUUAUCCUUAUUGUUAUUUGGUGUUGUUCUUAUGAUUUUAUCAUCAUUAUUGUUGUAUUUCAUUUUUUGUUCACUCUUUAAAUAUUUUGUUCAUAUAGUUAUUUUACACUAUUGCAAUAUUGUUGCAUUACGCAUUAUGUUUCUUAUAUAAUAAUUAUUUCGCUUUCACGCGAUGUUCGAAUCAAUUAAACAUGAAUCUUCUCAAUUAUUACAUUAAUUGUUACUUAAGUUCAAAAAGAAAAUUUUCAAAAUAAGGCAAUAUUUUGCGUUUUGGAAAUUCGAGAAAUCAUACCCUAACUUACGAGGUUUCGAUUUUCUCGUUAAACUUAAAUAGCAAAAUAUUCUUUUAAAUUUCAAAAUGCAUGCAAUUUCAAUAAAAAUCAAAGGCAAGCUUAUUCUCUAAGGUUCCAAAUAUCGCGUCCUAACUUACGGGAUGUGACAUUUCGUUACCUCGAGACGAGUAGGUCUUCAACUCUCUUUUCGAUUUAUUCGAGCGUUUUUAAUAACAUUAAUAAAAAGGGAUCGUAUUUUAAAUUUCUAUUCAAGUUUUCAACCUUGGACAUUAAGACAUUACUUAAUCAACUAGGUACCACCUUUGGGUGUAUUGAGGGUGUGUUUUCUAGAUUUUGUAGACCAAAUAUUAUCGUUUUUAGUAAAUUUAAAUUUUUAUUAAAAUGAUUAAAUUACAAGUGUUGACACCAUUUUUUUGAUGAAAAACGGGGUCGACUUGGGUUUUAAAAAAAAUGAAAAACGGGAGUCGCCACCAAUCCUUUUUGAUAAGGUGUGAUUGGGUCACCUUGAAAAAUGGUUGUUUUUAAUAAAUGAUUUGAUUUUAUUAAAACAACGGUUUUGGUCCAUGAAAUUUAGAAAACGGGUUCGGGAGUCGAUUACGUACGAGGAAGGAUUAGCACCCUCGUAACGCCCAAAAAUUGGUACCUAGUUGGUUAGCUAAUGUCUUGAUGUCGAAAAUUGAGAACUUGGAAAAAAUUAAAAAUACGAUCCUUGUAUUAAAAUGAAAAUUUUAGGAAAAGGGGGGCAUACUUCACGCUAAUCGAGAAAGAGAAUCAUAUCCAGUAAGUUAGGACACAAUGUCUCGAAUUCCCGAUACGCGAAUGAAUGCCAAAAUUUUACUUAUUUAAAAGACAUUUUAGCCGUCUCGAAUUUAAAAAUGAAAUCACGACCAGUAAGUUAGGACGUGAUUUUUUAAAACUUGAGUUUGAAAAGAUUCGUGCAUCUAGAUUUAUCGUGAAAAUCAAUACCCAGUAAGUUAGGGUACGAUUUUCUUGAAUUUAAACACGAAAUGCCAUUUUUUAAAACAAAUUUUGUUAUAUCGAGUGAAAUAAAAACACAAAGUCGUAGUAAAAAAAUGUGUAAGCAAAUUACAUUGUUAUGCAUGGCAAAAUCAUAAUGAAUACAAAAGUAUAAAAAUGAUACGAGCAAUAACAACAAUAUAAAAUAAAUAAAAGUCAAACCUACAAUAAUAUUAAAUAACAAUGUAUAUAAACAAAUAAAAUUAAAACAUUCAUUCAAAAUAAUAAUGAAAAUGAAAUAAAUAAAUAGUAAAUACAAAAUAAAACAAUAGUAAUGAAUAAAAAUAAUAUAAUAUAUAUAUGUAUGUUAGAAUUAUAAAGUAUAAAAAUAUACGUAUGUGUAUAUAAGAAUAUGUAAGCAUGUAUAUACAUAGAUUAUAAAAUAUAGAUAUUUAUAUAAAAAUGAGUAUUUGUAUUAAAUAAGUUGAAAAAAAAUAUAUAUAUACCUACAUAUAUAUAAAAAAUUAUAUAAUAAUAACAAUAUAAUAAAACACAUAUAUCUAAAAUUUACAUAAGUAAAUAUAAAUAAAAACAUACUAAUAACAAUAAUAUUAAUAGUAAAAUGAUAAUACAUAAAAAUGAUGAAGAAAAUAAUAAAAAUGCUUAAAAGGGGACUAAAUCGAAGUAAGAACCAAAAAAAAGGGGCAAAAUCGAAAUAAAGACAAGAGGGACUAAAUUGUAACGCGCGCUGAAAGAGGGGGACCAACAGGGUAACUAAACCAAAGCCUCAAAACGCUGCUCUGUAAAGGACUGAAAUGAGACAAAAAUAAAAUUUUGUGGCCAAAUUGCAAAUAUGCGAAAAACUUCCAUGAAAUCGCUACAAAAUCAAAGGGACUAAUUGCGCAAAUAGACCCUUAAACAAAAACGCGCGGAUCCUUGGGUGCGGGUCGGGUCGACGUGCGGAUCCCCUCACCAAAACGGCGUCGUUUUGUGUUUAAUAUAAAUAUAAAAAAAGGGCUAAAAAAACAGUUUCAUCAUUUUUGUUGAAAAACUGAGAGAAACCUCUCUCUUUUUUCCCUUUCUCAGGCUCAGAUUCCGGAGAUGGCCCGGCCUAGGCUUCUGGCGAAUCUCCGCCGUAGAGCCACCGUGUGUGGCGGCCGGAGGUCCAAAAUCGGACCUUUUCGGUCCCUUUUUGAAACUAAGAAUCCCUAGGGUACGGAUCUGGGACCAAACCCCCGAAAAAAAGAAUCGGAGACCUAAAGAACGAGGGGAAACCGCUCGUCUUCUCUCCUCCGGCGCGGCGCAGGUAAGGUUUCUUUUUCCUUUAUUUAUAUUACGUAAAAAACAUACAAAAAGAAAAAAAAGAAAAUAGAGUUUAAAAAAAAUCUAAAACAGAAAUGAGAGAAAAUCACCUCUCAAGUUUUCUUGUUUUUUAUUUCUUUUUGCUAAUAUCUGUUUCUUCUUUUUACAAAAGUUGAUGGAAGAAGAAAAAAUUACAUUUUGUUGGCUUUUUAUAGCCGACUUCUACUACUGCCUGUGUUAUUUGCUCUCUGUUUCUUUGUUUUGUUUCUUCUUUGCAGGUGACGGUGCAAGUGGUGGUGGUGACGUGACCGUGGCAGUGGCGGUGUGAUGUUGGCGGCGGCGGCAGGCCAAAGGUCAAUAGGUGUGGAGCCUAGGGUUUUAGUUUUUGAAACCCUAGGCAGAUUUUUUUAGGGGAAUUGGGCCUUAGCUAUUGGGUCGUUCGGGUUUGGGCGUUGGGUUAGGCUAGUUGGGCUUUGAGGUUGGGUUGUUUUGUAAUGUGCUUUGGUGUUUGGGUUGGUAGGUGGUGGGUAAGGUUUAUUGUUUUGGGUUCUUGGGCCUGGUUCUGUUUGGUUAGGGUAAUGGGCCAUUUGGGUCUGGGCAUAAAAUUGGGCUAUACAACAAGGUGACCCGAUUACACCUCAUCAAAAAGGAUUGGUGGCGACUCCCAUUUUCAUUUUCAUUUCUUUUUAAAUCAAAGUCAACCCGUUUUUAAAAAAAUGGUUUCGACAAUAAGAUAUAUUGAUUAGUUAUGUCAUAACUAAAGAUGAUGGAGUUGACAAAAGGAAAUUGUAGUUAACAACGAAUAAUCUACGUAGAACAUUUCAAUAUUAUGGAAAAAUGAGUAUUUACCAACCUUCUUUUAGUCAAAUUAUGCAAGCCUAAAAUUUUUAGCUUAAUUUGAGUUUGUUGACUAUGUCUAAUUCAAGUUUUAUUAUUAAGGACUAAAUUGUAACUUAAAAAAAUUAGAAUACCAAUUUAAAGAGACAAAAAUUCAAAACCCCAAAACCCACAUGGGCAUGUGGGUAAGUGACACAGGCGUGUGGAGACUGGAGCUAUCACACACGGGCGAGUGGGACAGAAAAAUAUGAAAUAAAUUAAUCCACUUAAAUUUCAAACAACCAUGCUAUACUACCAAACCAAAUAAUGCUAGAAGCUUUGAAUAGGGGUGAAUCGAAAAAAAAAUAAAAGAAUUAGAAUUAAAUUAUAAAAUUUUCAGAAGUUAUCAUGUAUUAAUUUAUUAUUUUUUAAAGGGUCUUAAUAGAAUUUUUUUUCCAUUUUGGUUUGGCCAAUACCCCUGUCUACCUCUUUCAAUUUGCUUCAACCCUAAACCUAAUAUUCGAUUUGUUGUGGAAGUUUGACGCAUAAAAAUUUCUUUUUUAGAGGUUUAAAUUAUAAAUUUUUGAAAGUUUAAAAUAAAUUUUCAUUUUUAUUAACAAAAUAUAAAAGAAAAAAAACAUGUGUAGACAAACCAAGAAACCUUUGGGAUCAUACGGGUGAUUUUGAUGAUGUUAAUGGUUAUUUUGAUGGAGAGGGUGAAAAAGAAACAAAUGAUUCAUAUAUAUAAUAUAAUUAUGAAAUUCAAGCCAUAUAUUGUAUGUUUCAUCCAUAAAAAUUUCAUGGGAGGUCCGAAGGUAAUUAAAUGACUUGUAGGCUUGCUGAAUUUCUUUGAAAGGCCCAAUGGCAAUUUAACAUUCACAAAAUAAUCUCUAAAUACUGUAAAGACAAAAUCAAAUCCACAGCAGCAUUAGAGUUGAUUAAGCUAAGCAUUGGCAAAUAUUACUUUGAUUUUGCAUGCAAUAUUAGCAAAACCCCCUCUUACAUUAGAUAAACAACAUACUCCAUGAAACAUUGAUAGCCCAAAUACAAAUUUCAUCGACAAAAAAGUCUCUUUGUUUUGUAGAACAUGAUAGUAAAAAUGUGGAGUUUCGUUCUUCUUAUUGGCCUCCUUUAGUUUUCCUUGAUCAACAACCACUAGCCAAAAACACAAUUAGAUUAGAUUAUGAAUGAUACUGACAUUAUUAAAUAUAAAACACUCUAAAUAACUCUAAAUAAAUGGAAAGCAGCAAAUUACCUGACGAGGCAAGCUAGCUCAAUUAAGACCAUUGUGUUAUACUUGUCUCUGAAUUGAAAAAUUUAGAAGGAAAUAAAGAGAAAGACUUAGAAAAUAUUUGAAAACAGAUAAAACUUAUAUGUCAUUUAAAAUAAAAAUUUUGUAUUUAAGCCGUUUAAAAUUUUUAAGAUUUUUGAAAUUUUAAAAUGAUAAAGGUAAAAUUGUACUUUGGCACACCAAAAAUGAUAAAACUUUGAUUUAAUCCUUUAGAAAUUAUAAAAAUAUAGGCUAUUAAAAUGGUGAAAUUACCUUUUUACUAUAGUAAAAAUUACAAUUUAAUUUCACUUUAAGAUUUUCUGACUUCGCCCCUAAUAAAAUCUUUGGCAAAAGAUUAAAAUAAAAUUAUACCGUAAAUGGAAAAAGAAACAAAGAAAAUCCAAUCUAACAAAGAAAAUAACUUAUGUCCAAAAGCUACCAUAAACCGUAAUUCAUGGGAAGAGAGCAAAAGUAAAAACAAAUAGUUUAUAUGAUUAAAAUUCCAGAAUAGGUUAAAAAUGUUGAAUUAAAGAUAAAAUUAAGCGUGAAUUAAUAACCACAAGUGUACUCUUUACUCACCAUCUCUGUUAAAAAUGUUGGAUGUUGUUUAGCAACCUUUGUUUGAUUUUCUUCAGCUCAACCACAACAUCUUUCAUUUCUUUUCUUUCUUCUGGUAACUCAGCUGAACAAUUCAAAGCCAACUCCAUGAUAGAUGAAAUACAAUUUGCUUUAACAACAAAGUACUCAUCCUCUCUUCUUAGUAAAUCAACAUCUGCAAUUUCUAUCGCUCCUUUAGGCAAUGAACUUUCCAUCCAAUGCCUUAUAGUCUCUUCUUCAACAAAAACAUUAUCAGUUGGCUUUCUCUUUGUGAAAGUUUCUAUAAGGACGAUCCCAUAACUAUAAACGUCAGAUUUUAUAGAAACAAGUCCUGCAGAUCCAAAUUCUGCAUUUCAAGUAUAAUUAGAACAUCAUCAGUCCUCAAUUAUUUGAUAAAUCUAUGUAUAUCCACAUACACGAGAAACAAAAAUAUAAAACGCAAAUUAGGAAAAUAAUCGUACAAAGAUAAAAAAAGAAUUCACCUGGUGCCAUAUACCCGAUUGUUGCAAGAGUCAUGGUUUGCUUCAUUACUUCACCUUCUCCCAACAAUUUGGCAACGCCAAAAUCUCCAACAUGUGCAACCAUGUCUUCAUCUAGUAAAAUAUUGCUUGGUUUUAUGUCACAAUGAAUUAUAGGGGUUGGAUGUCCAUUGUGGAGGUGUUCUAUAGCCACCGCAACAUCUAUCAUUAUGUCGACCCUUUGUAUGAUAUCAAGGAAACAAUUUUUAGAAUGUAACCAUUUCUCAAGGUUUCCAUUAGACAUGUAAUCAAGCACCAAGGCUUUGAAGUCAACACUUGAGCAGCAAGUAAUGACCUUCACAAUAUUACGAUGAACUAUAUGAAGCAUAGCAUCACAUUCAAUGUCAAAACUCCUAAAUGCUCCCUCUGUUUGCAAAUUGAAAACUUUUAUUGCAACUUCCAUUCCAUCUGAAAGCCUCCCUUUAUAUACAUAUCCAAAACUCCCUGAACCAAGCAUAUUGCUUUCCUCAAGUCCAUUAGUUGCUCGUGAAAGUUCAGCAUGUGAAAUUCUUCUCGGUGUCUUCAAAGACAACAAAUCAUCUUUAAUUGGUAGAGCUGUACUCCUUCUUUGGCAUCUUCUAUACAUAAUAGUUAAGACUAUUAGUACUACGACAAUACCAAUUGUUGGUAAACCAUACCUAAAAGCAUGCAAUAUAAUCGUUUGGGAGUUUUUGUGGAUGUCGUUUUUACAAGGUGGGACUAGCAAUCUAGGUGGACCACAAAGUGCAUAAUUCUUCAUGAAUGAUGUGCUAGAAAAGUUUGAAAAACAUCCUUCGCUGGGAAUUUCCCCUUCAAGUCUAUUGAAAGACACAUUAAAAUACUUUAGAUAUAAAAGCUUUUCCAAAGAUUUGGGAAUGACUCCAGAGAGAUUGUUAUUGCAUAAAUCCAAGAAUUCCAAACUAAUCAACCCAUCAAAUGAUUCAGGGAUAUGACCAUGUAGUAUAUUAUUUGAUAAAUCUAAUGAAACCAAAGUUAUAAGACCCCCAAAUGUGGAUAAGAUAUCGCCCGUGAGAAGAUUCCUUGAUAAAUUUAGUUUCAGUAGACUCCUCAAAUUUCCAACAUCAAUAGCAUGUGAAUUGUGAAGAUGGUUUGAUGAUAAGUCUAUUUCUAAGAUAUCUUUAAGAUUCCACAAAGUUGAGGGUAUUGUAGAACUCAAUUUGUUGGAAUCUAAGUAAAGAUAUCCCAAAGAAGUAAUAUUACCCAAACAAGAGGGUAUGGAUCCAUGCAGCUUAUUCAACCCUAAAUACAUCUUGUAUAGUCUCUCCAAAUCACAAAGGCUUUAUGAGAUGGGCCCUCCUAAUUUAUUAGAGGAAAGAUAUAGACCUUGGAGAUUUCUCAUUCCUCCUAUUGAUGCUGGAAUCAAUCCACUUAAUUUAUUAUAGUCAAGUUGUAAAAGCAAUAGGUUGGUUAAGUUACCUAUUUCCAUAGGAAUAAUGCCUUGAAGCUCACACUCAUCGGCAUAAAAGUAUUGAAGGGAUUUUGAAAGGUUCCCAAUAUAAGUAGGAAGAACGCCACUCAAUGGAUUUCCUGAAACACCUAUUUUUCUCAAAUUCCUACAAUUCGUCAAAGAAGAAAGAAAGCUCCACUCAUGAUCAGUAGCAGAUCCUGUGAUCAAAUUAUUGUCAAAGAUUUUGAGCACUUCAAGGUGUUUUAAGCUGCCAAGCAUUUUAGGGAUUGGGCCAGAGAAUAAGUUUCGUGACAACUCUAGUUUCUUAAGCAUGGAAGCAUUGGAGAUAGAGUUGGGAAUGUUUCCGCUAAGUUUAUUUCUCCACAAUAAAAGAAUCUCAAGCUUUGGAGCAUUGGUGAUUGGUGGUAAAUCACCUGUGAAAUAGCAUCUUUUAGUAUACACAUUCAUUGAAUACCAAAUUCACAAAAUAUAUAAUACAUUAAAAUAAAAACUGUAAAACUUUAAAUCAAUUAAGAAUAAAAUUUUGGCAUGGAAAAAUGUGAUGAAAUCAAUUAGAAAGUUGAGACAUAAUAAGAAGUUUUGAGUAGUAAUUACUCAUGAUUUCUAUAGACAAAACAUAUAAUACACUGAUAAUUUUUUAAAAAAUAUUGUAAAACCUGAAAUAAAAUAAAAAAUAAAAGUUUGGCAUGAGAAUGUGGCAUCUAAUCAUUCUUAAAAAUAAGACUAACAUUGAAUAAUAAUUAGUUAUGAUUUGAGAAACAAAAAUGUUAAAGAUGUAAACUGGUAUGAUUUUUAUCUAUUGGGUUAAUUAUUUAUUUUUAUUAAAUUAUAUAUAGUGUAAAAUUUAAAGAUUAUUAUUUGCUCAAAAUUUUUGUAUUUUUCGUAUAUUUGAAAUUUAAUCUUUAUAUUUUUUAUUUUCUGUGAUUUAGUCUCUCUACUUUUUGAAUUGAAAAUUUUAAGUUUAUUUAUUAACACUGUUAAAAAGUUUUUGUGUUAGUAUGGCAUUUUGAAAAAUAAAAUAAAAUUGAUAUCUAUGUUUUUAAUUAUUCCAAAUAUUGUUUUACUAUUUCAAGAUAAACUUUUUGUGUCUAUACCAAUAUCUUAAGAACUAUUGUUGCAUGUUUAAUUAUUCUAAAGAUUUGUUGAUUGAGUCUUGGUUGAAGUGCAUUAUUCUCCUAUUUAUGAAUUGGGGAGUUGAUAAAGUACUUUAUUUUAAUAUAUUUUAAAAUAUUAAAAAUUUAUUAAAAUAUUUUUUAUAAAACUUGAUUGUACCACAAUAUACAAUUUUAAUAUCAAAUUUUUAAUUGUUUUUUAAAAAUAUUAGCGAAUAUAUACUUUAUUUCAAGUUACACAAUUUUUACUAGCUUUUAACUUUUUUUAAAAUUUUUAUCGUCUUUUAUAAUUUCUAAUAAUUUUUUAUAAUUUUUUACAAUAUUUACAAUUUCUAACAAUUUUUAAUAAUUUUAUUAUUUAUUUCAAAUUUAAAAAUUAACAAAUUUUUAUUUUUUUAAAACAAUUAUAUAUUUAUAAUGUAGUUAUUUUUUUAUAAUUUUUUUUUGAAAUUUAAAGAUUUUUUUGGUUUUUUUUUUCUAGAUGAUGAUGCCAUCAUGAUGCCAUCAUAUGCCACAUGCCUUCUAAUUUGUUGUCAUAUAGACAUAUUUCUUCGAGCGUAGUUGAAUUAAAAAUACUUGAUGGAAUCUGACCUGCACACAUAGUCGAAAAUUGAAGUGAAAAGCAUACCUUCUAAGCUGUUAAACUAAAAAUACUUUAAGCAUAUUUUAUUUUCCAUCAAAUUAACUAUUUUGCCUUGAAUGAAAUAAAAUGUUCUUAUUUUUGUUAUCUAUUACAAAUCAAACUCUUUUAUGAAAAAACUAUUUUAAAUUAAAGAAACAAAGAAAAUUCAAUAUCUUCUAAGUUAUUCCACUCCAAAUAUAAUCUUCAGUGAAGAAAUCUUGAAGAUGGAAGAUGGAACCUUACCAGAUAAUUGAUUGAAUCCCAAGCUCAAGGACUCUAGAUUAGACAUGUUAACAAGUGUUUCAGGGAUUGUGCCUAUAAAGUUAUUAUUUUUCAUUUUCAGCCUUCGAACUCCCUGUAAGUUCCCAAGCCAUGAUGGAAUUUCCCCAUUAAGACUGUUGUAUUUUAAUCGAAGGAUCCUCAAACGAUGCAAUUGGCCCAAUUCUUUAGGGAGAUGGCCAUAGAAAUGGUUUCUACUCAAGUCGAGAGAGAGUAGAAAUGAAAGAUUUCCAAGGUGUGGAGGGAUACUACCCCUAAGAUUCAUGCUUUUAAGUUUCAAAGCUAUAACUCUUUUAUGGAGGAUGCCACAAGAAACACCAAUCCAAUUGCAAACAGAGGUUGAGGCCGUCCAAUUGUUUGCCAAGACAUUUUGAGGACCGGCAAUGCGAUCCUUAAACUCGAGAAGUGCAAACUGAUCGGAGUUGAGAUUCCUGACUGUCAUACCCCAGCAAAGUCCGGAACAUGGUACGAAUAAAGCUAAAAGAAGAUGAAAGCAAGUGUUGUAGUUCAUGAUAGCAAGACGGAAUAAGCCAAGAAAAUAAAAAAAAGUAGGACAAGGGAAGUUGAGUUGAUAAAAUAGUUUGGAUGAUGAAGAAAAGCCCAGAGAGCAUGCUUUAAUAUGUUUUGAAGAAAUUUCAAAAUAAAUUUCAAAAUAAAUUUCAAAAUAAAAAUUUAAAAAGGAAAGCAAAGUUUUGAAGAAAUUUCAAAAUAAAUUUCAAGUCUUCUUCUUUAAAAAAUACGUACAAAGAGCGAAUUUUCAAAAUUUCUCCUAAAUUUUCUUCACAUUACUCCACAUAAUCCAUUAAAAAAACUUAAAAAAUAUAUUUUAUUAAUUACUAUACAUUCUUUUACUUUCAGAAUAAUAAAUUGUUUAAAAUUUGCUAUUAGUCCCUGUAAUUUAAAAGUUAAAAAAAAAAUUCAAUCCUCCUACUUUUCUAAUUUAAAAAUUCUAGUUCAAUCAAUUUUAAUUUUAAAAUCUUUGUAUAAAAGGUGUUUUUUUUUUGUGACCGAUCACACUUAACCAAUAUUUAAAAAUUAUUAAAAAAUAUUUUUUUUUGAAAUUUAAAGUGAUCUAAAAACAUAUUUUUAAGUACUUUGGACAGUCUAUUGUUGAUUUCCUUAUUAUAUUAAGUGUUUGCAAUCACUCCUAAUAUAUUGUGCUUGAGUUGUGACAAAGUCGAUCAUCAAAUUGCCAUAAUGAUCUAUUGAUGCUGAAAUUAAAGUUUUUGUUAUAUUGAUAGAGCUUGUCCUUCAACGCGUACAACGUGUUUGUUAUUUUUCUCCCUUCAAAUUGUAUGAUCUUAUUCAUUAAAUGAAUUAAUGAAUUUCCCUUUUAAAAAGAUAUAUUUUUAAAAAUUAAAUACUUUAUAAAAUAUUUAAAAAUUUGUAAGCCUUAAAACAAUCAACAAAAUAUUUUUGAAAUUUUAUAAAUAUAUUUUAAAAUUAUAGUAACGCUACAAAAUAUAUAUAUUUACUAAUUAUAUGCACCUUUUUUAUUUUUUUUCCUAACAUAUCAUUAUUUUCAACACUAUCGUAAUCCUGUUUUGAUAAUUCCCUUUCCAUACAUCCUUUUUCUACAUAGAAUUUCAAAAGAAAAUGUGAAUUAAUGUAAACGUGAGAAGACUUAAUUACAUUUAUUAGUUUAUCAAUCAAAACUUAAUUAGAAUCCAUCAAUAUUUCACACAUCAAAAACCCAAACAUAAAAUUCACUUUUAAAUUAUUUGAAGAUACAUUUGUAUUAUAGGAAAUGGAUUAAAUUAGUCUUUUAUUAUUAAAUGUAUUAUUUUAAUCUUUGUAUUAGGUAUGAAUUGUAUCUCCUAGAUUGAAGCCAAAGCUAUUCUUGAAAGACUGAAAUUAAGAUUCAGAUGUGUUGAGAUGGAAAGUGGCAACACAAUGUUGAUUGAAACUAUUUAUAACGGGUUGGCUACAAUAAGUAGUGCUGCCGAAGUAAGACAGAUUCACGAUUGGUGUUCCAAAAAUUGGGAAGUCAAAUUUCGACAUAUUCAACGAAAUGCCAAUAAAGUUGUUGAUUGCAUAGCUAAGGCAAAUGGAGGCGUAAUUGAGCAGCUGGUUAUCUUGGAAGAUCCUCUGCAUUAUGUGAGAUGCUAGCUUGAAGAAGAUAUUAGACAGUCACUAGUGACUGAUGAUAAUUUUCAUUUGGACUGAUGAGCGCUUAAUUUUCUAAGCUUAUGUUCAACAAAAAAAAAUUUAAAUACGUCUAAAUUGUAAUAGAGUUAACAUUUAGUGUUUAAAAAAUAUCUUAAAAAUUAUUUUUUUCCAAUUGCAGUUCAAUUCCACAAAUAUCGACGAUGAACCCGGACAUAAAAAUUACAGAAAAAAAAACACAUCUAUUAUCAAACCAGCAAUCCAUGUCUAAACUUAAAUUAACAAAAUUUGCCACACAACGCCCGGUACACUAUUAUAUAUCUAUACUAGAUUUAUUCUAGAUGCACAUGUUUUAUUAUAUUUAAAAAUUAAAAUGUAUGGUUGACUAAGUUUUAGUUGAGUUAGUAUUGAUAUUAUUGUCAGUGUAGGAAAAUGUGAGUUUAAUCACGCUCAAAUGUGUUUUAUCCUCCAAUUCAAGGGUUAGGAAAAGGUUAUUGAUAAUUAAAUUAUACCAACUUUUAUAAUAUUAAAAAAAAGGAUUUAUAAAUAAUAUAAGGAAAAGAAAAAAAGAGAAACAUAUUCAUAUUGAUGGGCUCUUUCAAUAUUAGACUUUUUUUUCUAUCACAAGUAAAAAUAUCAAAGGUGAUAAUAAUUAAAUUAUAAAAUUUAAAUUGAGAAAAUAGGGGAUAAAAUUUAUAAGUUUUAAAGUAUAAAGAAUGAAUUUAUAACUAACAACAUAUUUUAACCACAUAAUAAAAGUAGUUAUGGAGAGGAUCAUAUAAAAUGCAAAAAUGAAAUAAUAGAAAAGAAAUAAGUGUUGGGUAUAGUGGCAAUGUAUAUUAUACUUCUAAGGGGAGAUCAAGAUUUUAGACAAGGGAAGAAUUUUAAACCUGCUUUUUUCUCUAGAACUCAACGCAAACCUCAAAUUUAUCUUUUUAAAAGAAUUUAAAAAUAUCUAUAUAAAAGGUGAUUUUUUACCGAUCACACUUAACAAAAUUAAAAAAAAAUUGAAAUUUAAAGUGAUCUAAAAACAUAUUUUAAAGUGCUUUUGACCAUCUUGUGCUGAUUUCUUUAGUAAUUUGAUUUGUUCAAUAUAGAUUUUGGUGACUUAAAACAAAAUUAAUAAAAAAAUAUUUUAUCAGAUAUCUUUUUAAUGUUUAAUAAUAAGUUAAUUUAUAAAAUAUACUUUCAUUGGACACAGGGCCUCCAAGGCGGUGAACCACUAAUCAAAUUAAUUUUGAGAUACUUAAAUUUGUUUUCAUCAAUUAAGAAAUUAAAAAAAUUUGUUGAGACCUCAUGAUUAUGUUUUAUAAUUUCAGGCUUAUCAACUAUUUUGAAAAACAACAAAACGUCUUACACCAAAAACUAAAAAAAUAAAAACGUCGACAUUAAAUUUGUUGCCAUGCAAUCAAUUUUAAGAUGGUUUUUGGAGUUAUAUAUCACCUUAGCAUUGACUUACUUUUCUACACUUAGUCUUCUCCAACAAGUUAAAUAUUUCAAUUUUAACAACAUUGACAGGUCUUUGGGGUAGGGUCGAGCAAAACUCAAUAUAGGCUGAGUUGGCUCGGCCAAGUCGAGUCGACUUGUUCAAAUUAUUUAAAUUCGUAAUUUUUAAGGUGCAGUUAGAAUUUUUUGUUUUGAGAUGCUAAGAUUAAAAUAUUUCAGUUGCUAAAACAAAAUAUUUGUAUUUAAAAAGGCAUAAAUUAAAUAAUUAAGUUUUUCGAGUUUCCAUUUAAUCAAAGGUUAAAAGGACUAAAUUGAAGCUUUUUAUUUUUAAGAAAGGCUGAAUGACAAAUUGCCCAAAGCCAUGCCCCUAGCUAUACAACUAACUUCUCUAUGAUUAGUCCUUCGUUUGCUUUGGGUGAAAUCUUCCAACUAGCCUCAUCCUUGGUUUUACUUUCCAACAAUUAGUGUAUCACGAGUUUUGUUUUCUUUAAAAAAUAUUUGUGGAUAUUAGGAGAUAAUGAAAAUUAUUUUACUAUGAAAUUUUAAUAAAACUGGAAAAUAAGUAAUUUAUUUUAAGAGGUCGCAAUUAAACGUUAGAUUUCCAAUUUUUAAAUUUUAAUUUUUUUUUGACAAUUGCAUAAUAUUUUGAGUGUUGUAGGAAUGCCAUAAUAUAACCUUCCCUAAACAUAAUCGACUCUUGAGCAUGAUGGAUCCUAGAACUUCUCCUCUAUUCUCGUACCGCAAAUUGCUUCAAGUGUGGGUUCGAACAAUCACAAAUUAAACACAAAACCAGAAAUGAUUUAUUACUUUCAAUAGCAAGGUAAUUCUCUCUCAAUAGAAACCAAUAGAAGUGUAAUUCUUAGAAAAUAAAAUUUAUUUUUUGAAAAUAUAUUCUCACUACUUUCUAGCAGAAUAACAAUAUGUGAAACUUAUGUCUUGUGUUAAUAGCUCUACCAGUACUCUCUAUUUAUAGGGAGAGAUACGAGAAUCCUGGUUGAAUUAGUAAAACACGAAUAAUAUUUAUUUCAUAGAAAACAAUAUUCCACCCUAAGUAGAUCAAGUUUGUAUGACGCAUGGAUCAAAGCUCAAUCUAGGAGGAAAAAAAUAAAGGAAUUUUCUUUGUAAAGAAAAUUUGAGAUUGUACUAUUUUCAAAGUUAUAAAUAAAAUUAUACGCCAAAUUUUUAAGUCAAUUUCAACUCCAAUUUUGUAUGCACAAAUUUCUAGUACACUUGGUGGGACAUUCUUUGACUUUUAUCUAUUCUCUCAAAAAGUUAAAGUUCAAAGUUACAUUAAACUCAAAGAAGAUAAUCAUUAGUAAACCACCUCACAAGCCUGCUCAAACUAAUCCUACAACUCAUUCCACUUCAUCAUCAAACACCAAUGUUCUUGCUUAUCCUUAUGGAAUUAAACAGUCUCAUUUUCUGCAUUUUGGGUACACACCUGGUUUUAUUUGAUGCUAAAACAGUCCCCGAGCACUCCAAAGCCUAUAAUUGAACAAAUAAUACUAAUUUAAUCUUACAUAACAUGAUCCCAAAUUGAACUUGUAUCGAGGUUUUAACCCAUAAGUGACUAAACCUUACCUUCAACCGAGUGAACAGUAAUUCCCACACAAACUAAGACUCCGAUUGAAGAUUACGAGCCAUUGAAUCCUCCCCUAAUUGGCAUAAACAAAACACUUCAAAAGAAAGUCAACAAAUGGAGACAAAUCACUUAUCUAAAACUUACCGAACGAUCACAGACAAACGUGAAGCGACACGAGGCAGAGUGGGAAAAGAAAAAUCAAGAGGAUGAAGGGUGAAAGAGAGCAGAAAUUCGGUAGCAAUGAAGAGAAAAACGGCAAGAAAGUGGAGGGAUUUUGGGGAAAGUAAAAAAAAAGAUGAAUAGAAUAUUUGAUAACUACCCCAAUCCCUUAUUUCUCUCUAUCAAACUCCCCACUAAAUCCACUACUCAAAUUUUUAGUCCAUCUCAAACUCUCCUGGACGCACGAGCAAAAAAUAAUGCCCAUGCCAAAAUUUAAACAAAAGACCUCCUUCACACCAACACUCCACUUAUCCACCAGACCAAUAGGCUCAUUCUUUUAAUUAUUUUCCAACUUUUACUUAAAAGCCUACUGACCAAAGAUAGGGCUUAUUCAUAAAAAUACCAAAUUUUGCCCAAGACCUGGCUUGAACUUGGGACCUCCCAAACACACCCAGAACACAUAACCACUAAAGCAGACAUAAAUUUUGUGUCACACAUUCACAAUACCCAAAAUUAAAAUUUUAGGGCGUUACAAAAACACAUUAAAUAAUAUCGCAUAAAAUAAUCACAGUUAGAUAACAGUUCAGAAUGUCGAUUUUACAAUUUAACCACCAAUAGUAUCACAGUAUUCACAGUUGUAAUUUCAGAAUAUCAAAUUUCCACAUGAUUCACAAUAUUCACACAUAUAUAAAUAUAUCAUAAUAGAAUUCCAGAUUUGUAUGCACAUGAUUUAGAAGAUGCCAUACAAUUUUGGUUUUUAACAGAAUAAAUCCUACCCCACGUUACAUACCAUAAUGGGAGUUCCCCUAAACUCCCUUCUCCAACACACUAGGUUAUGGAUAAACCACUAUUGGUUCACAAAUAAUAACUGUCAUUUGGCUGUGGACACACAGCAAGUCCCCACAAUUGGAUUCUAGAUUUGGUUGUGGAUUCACAGCAAAAAAAUCCUACAAAUGAAGCCUGCUUUUGCCUGUAGAUUAUACAACAUAUACCCGCAGUUGGAAUCUGUCUUUGGCUGUGGAUGCAGUGUAACACCGCAAACUCGACCUGGACAUUAUGGCUGAAUCUUGAUGAUUUACUUUAACUCGCUAGAAAACCCACGAAUUUACUUUAAAAUCAUGUGGUUAAACUAGUGUUCACUUUGAUAAAUUGUUUUCCAGUUUUAGAGAAAUUUCUUGUUAAAACUGUUACUUUAUUACAAUAAAACAUUAAAGUAAUUGUAUCAUUUUGUAGUGGAAUCUACUAAGCUAUAAGGUUUUGAAAAUCGUGAUUUAGUUUGCAACAAAUCAUUUUGCAAAUAGAAAUUUAAUACUACUUAAUUUGGAAAAUCACGCUAAAACGAAAGCAAAGUCCAAAAUAAUUUACGGUUUGAAAUUCUAAAAAGCCCAAAUUAGACAUAAAGUCUAUUUAAACCAAUUUAUUGAAAGUGUAACACCCUAAACCCGGCCUAUAUGUUAUGGCCAAAUCUAGAUGUGUUACGAAAAAAAGUUUAUAAAAUGACUUCCUUGUUAUUGGCAAACCAUCGUAACCAUUAUUACUUAGUAUAUCUGAUUUGUUUGGAAAACUUAUUGAUAUACUUAUUUGAUUUAAAAUCGUUGCUCGCUUAUGCCUUUUUAUUAAACCAAAUAUUUUGCAGCGGAGUUUCUUUACAACAUCAUAUUUUGGAAAAUCAAAUUGUUUCUUGAAAAUCGUUAUUUUAGAAAAGUUUUCAUUUUCAGAAAAAUUAUUUUAUCAGUUGUUAUGCUGAGAAAACAAAAUAAAAUCCAAAACCAAAAAUAAUCGCAAAAAGUCUAGAGAGUCCCAAAAUGACAAUACUCUUAAAACUAGACAAGCUUAAACUAAUUUUAAAAGAAUGAAAUUUUACAGAAAUGUGGACACCACUGAGCUUCCGUCGCACCGACCCACCUAAAUCUGAGGGUUACUUGAACAGAACAAACAAACAGAGAGUGAGUUUUGAAACUUAGUGUCUAACGCAUAUAUAAACAAAAAUUCAGAAUCAAUCUCAUGCAGAACAGAUACAAGUGUAAACCUUUUAUAAAAUUAGAAUUGUACAGAUACAAAUAUGCAACAUCCUACCCUCAUCCUCUACACACCAACUCCGACCAUCCUAUCACACCACGUGGGGUAUAAAAUACCCAUCCAGCCCUACACACCGUAUAGUGUUUAUAUGACACUUUUUGGAAUAAUCGCAGCAGAGUUGCCAGUAUAUAUGCGAGAUAUCACCUCACAUAGAACACUUCCUCCUCAUAAUACAAAUCCCGCCUCAUAGCUAGAUACAGACAAAAUAUGAUGUAAAAUAAAUUAACAGAUACUAGAGUUAACAUAUCACGCGUGAGCGUAUAAUAGAUAUUACACAUGCUUAUGCAUAACAAAAUAGAUCAUACAUAUUGUAUUCCAUAAUACUCAUAUAAAUGUUAUUUACGUCAAUCUCAAUCUAACAGAGUAGCAGAUUUCAUGCUUUAACGCUUAUACCACACAUAUAGACCCUAUAGAAGGCCCACAGUCGAUCGAGACAACAUGUAUGUCGCUAGGGAAAAAAUUUGUAAUUUGGGCCCAUAUACAUGUAUGAGCCCACACACCCAAAAUGGCCUUGCCCAUGUGGCUCACCAACCUAGCACUCAGCCCAUACGGUCCAAAAUGGCCUAGGUCGUGUGUCACACACAGCCGCAUGUUGCACACAGCCUACCACAUAGCCAGUCACAAAACUGUUUGGAGUUGAAAAGCCCAAUUUUUGGCUUUCGUCAAUCAUCAUUUUCUUACGUUUUCAUUACACACCUGGUUUGAUUCUGACGCAAAAGCAACCCUAUGUCCACCGAAACCUAAAAAUAGCAUUCCAACGCCCAAUUUCAGUGAACAUUUACAAAACUCAAACAAAAACUAUCCAAAAACAUAGCCUCACAAUAGCAUCCAACGCACUCGCACACUUAUCGUCAACAAAUAGGAAACACCCAACACUCAAUUCGUUGGCGGAGCACCAAUUAUGAUAAUGCAAAAAUUUUAUGGAUUCUCAACACUAUCGAUCCGAAUGUAAGAUUGAUGCUUUCCAAUUAUGAUAAUGCGAAAAUUUUGUGGGAUGGUUUACAUGAAUUUUUUUUGUUGUCAACGAUCAACGUAUUCAAUAAUUAAAAUAAAAUAUUAGUCGUUUUUAGAAAACCAAGACUAUGAGUGUUGUAGUUUAUUUCAGUAAAUUAAAGGUUUUGUGGGAUGAACUAGAUAAUCAUGAACCAUUGAUUUGUUGCAAGUGUGGACAAUGUUUAUGUAACUUAGGGAAGGCGCAUGAACAAUGUCGUGAGCAUGAUUGACUUCAUCAAUUACUUCUUGCUCUCUAUUGUAAUUGUUAUGCUCAAACUAGGUUUACACUGUUUUACCAAGAUCCUUUGCCUUCCUUAAAUCAGGCAUUCCAACAAAUUACUUAGGAGGAACAUGUACGUGGAAUUACACUGAUUAAGGAAGAGAAGUCUGAUAUUUUAGGCUUUGCUAUGCGUACAGAGGGUCAUAACAAAGGCCGAGCUAAUUGUAUUGAUAAGUCAACCUUGUUGUGCACUCAUUGCCAUCGCAAAAGGCAUGAGAUGGCUACCCAUUUUGAAUUACAUAGCCACUUGGAUUGGCGGCUUAAGAAGUAUGGGAAGCCAGAGAAGAAAAGUGAUGAUCGUGGUGGUAAGACAAGUGCCACAUCUUCCACGUAAGUGUUUUAUUUCAAAGGAUCACAAUUAAACAUUAGAUUUCUCAUUUUUAAUUUUUUUAUUUUUUUAACAGCUACGUAAUUAACGAGUACCAAUUUUGGGUGUUGUAGGGGUUCUAUAACUUUCCCUAUAUGUAAUCGACUCUUGCACCCACUUUUUUUUCUCUAGAAUUCAAUGCAAACCUUAGAUUUAUCUUUUUAAAAGAAUUUUAAAAUCUCUUUAUAAAAGACGAUUUUUUUAGGUGACCAAUCACACUUAAGAAAAACAAAUCGGUGGCAACUCCUUUCUAAUAAAUGUAAAAAACUUUUUAAACAAAAUAAGGUUGAAAUAAUCUAGUUGUCGUUAUACUUUGAUAAAAUUUUAGAUUUAGUCCUUAUACUUAAAAGGUUAAAAAUUAAGUCUUGUUUUUAUUUAAAAAUCUUAGUCCUAUCGUUAAUAUUGUUUUUUUUUGUCAAAAUUUGUCAAGUUGACAUAUUAAUUAGGUUUCUCUUAUAUAUCGUGGUAUAUGACUAACACAAAAUAAACAAGUUGACAAAAUCUACAAAAAAUAUCAAAGAUGAUAAUAGUUUAAUUAAAAUUUUUAAAUUAAAAAAGUAAGGGAUUAAAUUUAUAACUUUUAAAGUACAAUGAAUGAAAUUAUUGAAAUACAAGAACUAACAACAUAUUUUAAAAUAUUACUAGUAAAUUAUAUAUCUACAACAAGAAUUGUAACCUCUUAUAUUAUAUUCUUGUAUCUAUUUUUGCAUCUUUCAUUAUAAUAUGAUUUAUUAAUUUUAAUAUUUUUAUAGAAUAAUAUGCUUUAAAUAGUUUUUUGUAUAAUUUAUAAAAAUUAUAAUAAACUUACAAAAUAAUUUAAUGAUAUUUAAUUAUUAACCAAAAAAAAUGAUAUCAUAUAUAUUAUGUAUAUAUUAAGAUUCCGAAUCAUUAAUUAUAUAUCUACGCAUUAUAAUAAAUUCAUCUUUCAAAAUUUUCCUUAUAAUUAAAGCAUAAAUUAUAUUUAUAAUAUUAUAAAUAUAUUUUAUCAUAAAUAUUCUUUCAAAUAUUUUUUAAUGUUUAAUAAUAAGUUAAUUUAUAAAAUAUUUUUUCAAUAAAUUAAUGUGAUGAGAUCGUUAGGUGCUUGGAUUUGGUGAAGGGGGAUGAAGAGAAAAGGGAUGGAAGUGAAUAAAAAUGUUGAGAAAUCGAAAGGGUUAGCGAGGGAAGCCGCCAUGAAAGGUGGUUCAAUGGAUAUGAACCAUCAAGCUUUUGUGGAUGAUGUUACUCAAGGUUGUUGCAAGUAAAUUAAAAAAUAUUUUUUUAAAUUAUUUUUUUGUUAAAAAACAUUUUUUAUUUUUUAUGUGGCAUGCCACAUUAUCAUAGUAUCAUGUGACAACUUCUGGUGAUUUCUGUCUGUAACAUUAGUCAAAUCAACAGUUAAAUCGUUCAACUCACAGUUUUUGUUAAAUGAAGAGGUCAAUUGGUUUUUUUGGAAUCAUUGAGUACUCAAUUGGUGCACUUUUAUCAUAAAGGCUAAAUUAAUUUUUUUAAUUUGUUAUUGUUGAGGGCUAUAACAAUAAAAAAAUUAAUGUAAAAUGAAAAAAAUGUUAGAGCUAAAUUUGUCAUUAUAACUAAAAUGUAAAACCAAAAUUUUUUGAAAAAUGAAAAAAAUGGAAAAUCACAAAUUCUAUCACUUAUGUUUGCUUAAAAUUAUAGUUUUGGUCACCAAUCUUUUGAAGUAAAUAUAUGGUCACCAAUAACUCACCUUAAAGUUAUACCCCUACGCAAGAAAGGAUUAAAUGACAUUGGAAUACCAUAAAACUUGUAUCUUUUUUUAUUCAUCUAAUACCAUUUUAACAUUUUCAUUUUAAAAAAUUGACAUAUCAUUUUGAAUUUGAUCUUUUUCAUGGUAUCUCAAAUUCAUUUAAUCUUUCCCUCUCUAAAAAAGCUAAUGUAACACAUUAAUGACAUCAUUUCAAACAAAGUUUUAGGUCAAAUUAUUCAUCUAGUCCUUGUAAUUGUUUUUAUAGGUGAAUUUCAUUAUUAUUCUUUUAUUUUCUUAGGCUUAAAUACACAUUUACCCCUAAUUUUAUCCCAUUCUCCUUAAUUGGUAUUUAUGGUUUAGAAAAUUUUAUAAAUAUAUUAUUUUUUAAGAAAUUAUAAGAAGAUUACAAAAAUUCCAAAAUAAUAUAAAAAAGCCAAGGAAAACCUAGAAAUUCAAAAAAAAAAAAAAAACGUCGACAUUGAAUUUGCUGUUUCACAUUCAAUUUUUGGAGAAGUAGAAUUUUCUAACUUAUUUUCCAUCAACUUGACUUCAAUUUUCAAUCACAAUCAAUUGCAUUCAAGAGCACCACAUCUGUUUGGAUGAAACAAACCUCUCAAUUUUAAGAUAAACGGGUCUUUAGGGUUAUAAAUUGAGGGCCUUUUCCACAAUUGCGGGUGAUUCGUUGAUAAUAACCUCAACAUUUCUGUAUCACAUUUCAAUUUUUAAUUUUUAGAGAGAUGAUUGGGUUACAAGACUGGUUUGAAGUGAAGAUAUUUCAAAAGAAGAUCGAAUACUCUACCAAUAGUCAUAAUUUAAAAUUCAGGUUAUGUUUCAUUUCAGCUAAGUUAAAUGUUAAGAUUGAGGUUAAACCUUUUAGAGGUUGCUCACAAAAGGAUCAAACCUUUAUAAAAUUGCCUAAAUGAAGGUUAAACCUUUUAAAAUAGACAAAUAAGGGCCUAACCUUUUAAAAGGUGUUCAAAUAAGGGUUUCUCAAACGUUGUAUAUCAGGUUAUGUGUUUUACUCUAAACACAUCGACAUUUACCUAUUUUUUCUAUAAAUUUGGUUGAAGUGCAUGAAAAAUCCUUAUUUGAGCACUUUUGUAAAGGUUAAUCUCUUAUUUGACCAUUUUGAAAGGUUUGAUCCUUAUAUAAGUAACCUCUAAAAGAUUGAGCACUAAUUUGACAAGUUUGAGAAAUAUCUAAAUUUGUUUUCAUGAAUCAAGAAAUUAAAAAAGAAAUGUUGAGAAAUAUUUUAGAGAUUCUUAGCUUUGACAAGUUCCCUCCACCAUCUCCCUGCCUCCAGUCCCACCUCUUCUCUUAUGCUCCUUCCAGCUUCUUGCCUUUUGUGUGUUGAAAAUUCAAAGGAACAAAAUAUCAACCUACAUCAUAAGGCACGAUCGCCAGAACUUUACUUUCUAGCCUGUCGAUCCGAUCCAAUCCAAUGAAAGAAGAACAAGGAGUCUUAAGAUCUGUCAACUUUAUUUCAUUUUCAUUUUCUUUGUCAUUUUCUAUGUUUCAUGUCGAAUACAAUGAAAGAAGAACAUAGAAAAAUGUGGCCUAUUUAUUUCCCAAUCAUCAUGAAAUUACUUGCCAUUGACUUAGAAUUUUCUCACCAAUUUUCAAGCAAUCUGACAUGAUUUCUCAAUCACAAUUAAUUGAAUUCAAGAUCUUUUUAGAUGACACAAACAUUUCAAUUUUAACACAAACCAAUAUUUCGGUUAUACUUCAGUGCUUGACAAGCACUUUCACAUUUGUGGGAUAAGAACUCUUAACAUUUUAGGAUCACAUUUAAUUCAAUUGCAUUUAAGACCUCAUGGUUUUAUUCUAUAAUUUCAGUCUUAUCAGCCUUUUCGGAAACAAUAAAACGUCGACAUUAAAUUUGUUGUUGAUGCAUUCAAUUUUUUGAGGGGUCUUUGGAGUUAUAUGUGACUUUAGCAUUGACUGACUUUUUUAUAAUUUAUCUUUUAUAAUAAGGUAAAUAUAUUAAUUUUAAUAACAUCGACAUGUUUUUUAGUAGGGUCGAGCAAAACCCAAUUAAAAUCGAUGAUAUUGGCUUAGUUGACUCGGUCAAGUCCAUUAGAUUGAUAAAAUCAUUUUUAAAAUCAGUUAUAAUGGAUAAAGGUAAUUAAUUAUCGAGUAAUGAAAUACAUAAUCAAAUCAAUUGAUUUUGUUAGAAACUAAAAGAAAAAGGGCUAAGCUGAAAAUUGAUUGCCCUUUAUUAAAAUUAACGAAUCUGUCUUUUACGUAUUAGAUAAUAUGAACAUCGCAUAUAUAAUAAGAAAAAUUACGUAUGAUUAUUUAUUAUCAUAAAAGGUUAGUUUAAAUUUAAAGUAAUCUAAUAUGUUUAUUGAACUUCAACUAUUAAAUAAAGUAUAAGCUAAAUAAGUAUAAAUAUUCUAGAAACCAUUUCUAACUGAUGAUAGGCUAAUUCGAUUAAUUUAUAAAAACUAGAUAGUAGGGUUAUAGUCCUCAAACUACACCUAAUUUAAUAACAUUUAUAUUUUUUUUAGCCUUAAACAUUUAUAGUUUUUGUUAAUUUGGUCCUUACUCUUUAAAAUUACAUAAAAAUUGCAAAAAAAUUAAAAAUUAAUUUUUAUCAUGAUUUUAAUAACAUUUAUAUUUUUUUUGUGGUUUGGUAACUUAUCAACUUGACUCUUACUUGUAACCAACUUUUCUAACCUUUUUCGUACCCUUAACCUAAGUCCCGUUACAAUUUCUAAAGACCUCUUGAUUGGUGUAUCAUCUCGAUUUGUUUUUAUAGUGGUGGAGAUUUGUUUUUUGUAGUGGCAUGAUUGCCAGAACUUUACUUUCUAUCCUGUCGAUCCGAUCCAAUGAAAGAAUAACAAAGAGUCUUAAGAUCUGUCAACUUUAUUUCAUUUUCAUUUUCUUUGUCAUUUUCUAUGUUUCUUGUCACAUACAAUGAAAGAAGAACAUAGAAAAAUGUUGCCUAUUUAUUUCCCAAUCAUCAUUCUAACAGGCCGAAUUAGCCCAGGCCCAAACAUUAAUAAAAUGUCCAGAUUACAAAAUAACCAACCAAAAAUUAAAAGCCCAAAAUAAUAAAAUAAAACCCAUUACAUUAACCCAAAACUCCAGCCCAAUUACAUUGAAGCCCAAAAAAAUAGUUUUUAGAAACCCCUAGGGUUUCUGGAACAAUCCGCGCCGCUCCUCCAUCCGCUUCUCCACGCACGCUGCACCUUUCCACGUGCGCCUCCAGCUGGCAGUGUACCUCCAAUGCAACAAACAAAGCAACAAGCAGCAAAAGAAAUGGAAAAACAACAAAAAAAAAAAGAAAGGAGCAACAAUGUAUAACAGAUUGAUAACAAAUAAUAGAAAAAAUAGCAGUAAAUAGGAAAAAAAAUUAAAAAAUAAUGAGGGUAAUUUCAUUUUUUUCUCUGUUUUGGCUAUAAAGAGAGCCGGUCAAAAUCUCUAAAGGGGGAUUUAGAAAUCAAUCAGAAAACAAGUAUUUUGUACCAACAAUUAGAGAAAAAAAAUACAAAAAUAGGGAUUGAAGGUUUUUUUUUCUUUCGUUUCGAUUUAUUUUAAAAUAGCAUAGAAAAUAAAAAGAAGGCUUACCUUGCGACGCCUUCAGAUCCUCUCGAAAAGGGGCUAAAAGGCCCUAUGUGGCACAGAUUUGACCACUGUUCACGGUGGAACCGCAGCGGAGGCGCAGAGGAUUGGCAUCAAUUUAGGCAGGGUUUGAAACCCUAGCAGAGAAAAAAUUAGGGUUGAUAGAUUUUUUUUAAAAAAAUGGCAAAAUGUUGUUUUAAAAAAUUUUGUUUUAAAAAAAAUUGUUGCUUUUAUAAAGGGUGUAAAACGGCGUCGUUUAGGGCAUGUUUCGAUGGCCCCAAAACGGCGCCUUAUAAGGCAACCCCCGACGACCCGACCUGCUCCAUGGGGGAUCCGCGUGGUUUUUGUUAAAUGGGUUAUGUCUAACCCUGGCCCUUCUACUUUUUAUACUUGUUUUAAUUUGAUCCUCUUUUUAUUUAUUUUUAUUUCUUUAAAUUAAGCCUGAUAAUUUUUUUCCAUUACAUUUUAAUCCUUAAUGAAACGGCGCGUUUUAGAGGAGAAGGGAAAAUUACCCUUCUAGUCCCUUCUUGUUAUUCGAGUGUUCAGAAGGGUCCUUUUUUGUUUAUUUUUUAUUUGCCCCAAAAUUUUGUUUUAAAGCUUAAUUUAGUCCUAUUUUGUUAUUUUAGCUAUUUUAUUAUUAGAUUAAUUAAUUUAAUAUUAUUAUUACUGCUAUUAUUUUACCCCUAUUAUUUAUAUAUUUAUUAUUAUAACUAUAUCAUUAAAUCAAUUAGUUUUUACAUUAUUAUUUCCAUUCUGUUUUUUAUUUACUUACUUAAAUACUUUAAAUGCAUUUAUUUUAUUUCUUAUUUUUUUAUGAAAUUUCAAAACUUUAGACUAUUUUUUUGUUACUAUAACCCUAAUUUCAUUCAUUUUAUAAUAGUUUUUUUUUAAAAUAUUUCUUAGAUUAAUUCCCUCGAUGUUAUUUUGUAUAUUUAUUUAUCUUUUUAAAUUUUCGAUAUUGUCUUAUUGUAUUAUUGUUGUUACUAUCAUUAUUCAUUAUUAUUGUUGAUUUUAUUCUUCUUUGAUUAAUGUUUAUGUUAGAGUAAUAGGUGUUAUGUGAUCAUUGUUAUUAUAUGUUAUAAUUUGUUGACACUCGUAUUGUAGUCAUUCGUCAGCUUAAUAUUUUGAGUAACAUUUUAAAUAUUACAUUAAUUUUGACCCAAAUGCAUAAUUUUUUAAUAAGUAAUAUUUCGUAUUGUGGAAUUUGAGAGAUCAUUCCCUAACUUACGGGGUCUCGAUUUUUUUGAUAAAUCUGAAUAUAAGAACUAUUUUAAAAAAAUACGUUUUAAAAUUAUCUCGGGAAUUUAAAAAGAAGCGUGUUCUAACUUACGGAAUAUGAUCUUUUUUUAAAAAUCGAGAUAAUCAAAUAUCUUUCAAAUAAAUAAACUUUUCGUGUUUAUUCUCGUUUUAGGAUUUAAGAUAUUGUGUCCUAACUCACGGGACACAAUUCUUUUUCUCGAUUAACGUGAAAUACGCCCUUUUUAAUUUUAUCUUUUUAAGUGAUUUUAACAAAAGGAUUGUAUUUUAAAUCUCUUCAAAAUUUUCAAUUUUUCGACAUUGAGACAUUAACUAAUCAAUUAGGUACCAAUUUUGGGCGUUACAAGGGUGUUAACCCUUCCUUGUACAUAACCGACUCCCGAACCUAUUUUUCUGAAUAUUAUAGGCCAAAAUUGUUUUAAUAAAUUAAACCCUUAAGAGGUGACUCGAUCACAGCUCAUAAAAAUUAUCGGUGGCGACCCUUGUUUUAAAAAAGGUGGUUUCAACAGCUUGGCGACUCCGCUGGGGACAAAAAUAAGAGUCAAGCCGCGAGUUGAUUAUUUCUUAUCUUUUUGUCAGAAAUUGUGAAUUCGAUUUAAAUUUAUGAUCUUUUCAUUGCAUUUUAUGGUCUGCAUCAUUUUUAUAUGCUUGCUUUACUACUUCGAGUCUUUUAAUCUUCGCAUAUUGUAUUGCAUAACCGUUCGGUUAUACCCUUUUAAGCGGGAGUGAGAAAUUAUUCUUUCGUGAGGUUUUCACCUUCGUAUAGGAUAGUGGAUUACUUUCAGGAUACAUCCAUACCUAUGUCUUCGUGAGAUUCUCAUCUCCGUAUAGUCAUAGGGAAAUGUAUUCCCCUGAACUGAACUCAGUCCGUAUGAGCCUAUAAUGGGUGAGGAUUGAGGAAUCUGCUGGUUCAGGUACCCUUUCUUUAGAACUAAACCGCAUGUAGUGAGCCCUAAGAGCAUACCCUAGGUAGAACCACUCCAAACCCCUAGUGGUCACCCAAAUAGGUGCUCUAUUUAUUUUUGCUUGCUUGUUUUUGCCUUGUACUAACCUAUUUGUUAUGGUUAUGAGUGCAUUGCAUUUUUAUCAUAAAAAAGAUGUGUUGAUUCACGUUCAGUUGCUAAAUAGAGAGCUUGUCAUGGAAAACGAAUUUCUUGAUAAAGUGGAAGACAAUGCGGUUGUCCGGAUAUGGUCCAAGAAAAUGUGAAGAAAGAAGGGUGAUAGUCUAAUGGAGGACUACACGACCUUGCUUUGUUGCCUGAUGAUUCAAGUUGACAAAGAUUAUUCGAGAGUCUUCAAUGUCCCGACCUUUUUAAAGAAGCUAACGAGCGUCACGAGGAUGAGCGAGUAAUGAGUUGCGGCCCGGAUCAAGCAAAAAAAAGAUAGAGGAGACACCCUUUUUGAAGAGUUCACGAGAUUUAUCUUAACAUCUAGACGAAGAAAAAGAUCAAUCUCUUUGCCUAGAGUAUGAGGGCAAAGCCGUAUAUAUCCGCUUUAUGUAAAUAAAUUUGUUUUCUAGUAAAGUUUUUCUAAUAGGAUUGAAUCAGAAUCAACGUCUCUUUUUGCAUUCAUUCCAUUCAUCUGCAUUGCAUUUCAUUGCAUCUAGAAUUUCACAAAAGGACCCUAAUUAAUCGAAAUUGUUAUAGCUACCUUGAAAAACUAACGAAAAUUUACCAAUUAAAUAUUCCUAUGGUACCCAUUGCAAAACUAAAGUAAUGGAUCAAAUAUUAGAAAGAUUAGAACAAAUGCUGAAGGAUAAACAUAACUGCUUUGGCUUAGGGUACAAGCCAGAUACAAGACAAAGAAGAAAUAGGAAAGGAGAACACGUUUGAGCGGGGAUGAGGUCAAAUGGGAGGGAUUAUUCAUCCCAGGCGAAGAAUGCCAAGAGAAGAAAAUAUUGAAAACAUGUUGGGAAACGUUCACAUCAAUGCCAUAUACGAAGAAGCAAUUGAAGGAGUGACCUUGUUAGAUAUCCGCCCUUAUGAACCUAAGAGUGUGCUAAACAAUUGGACUGCAGAAGAAAUUCUUGUAGUGUUUAGAGCUUACUCAUAGUAAUGUUCAGAACACACUUGUUGCUUUUAGCCUAGAAGUGAUAAGAAUCCCUCUGUGAAAUAGGCUCAUGUAUAAACAUCAUUAUUUUAAUGAAGUACAUCUUUGCAUUCAUUUUGAGCAAAUAUUCUUUUAUUCUUUUCAUACGAGUAAUUAUUUUGGAUUCUUUAAUUCUUUUGGGAUUUUCUUCCAAAAUCAUUCUUUUAUUACAUCCAUAAUCAUACUGUACAAAUAAUGUAAUAGCCUGAAUUUUCAGUGGUGUCGGAAUGGUGAUUCAAGAUCACUAAGUCUGACAAAUGAGUAGAAAAUAUUAUUAAUUUAGUAAGAAUAAGUAAAUGUGAAGUUAGGAAAAUUUUUGAAAUAGUGAAUAGUGUACUAGGAAUAAAUAUUAAAAUAAUUAAAAUAAAAAAUGAGGUAUCGAGACCUCGAAGAUUUUAAACCAAGCCAUAAGUACUUUUAGAAGUAUUUUUAGAGUGUCAUUGAGUUGGUAUUAAAGUUUCGUUAGAAAAUUUUAACGCUCGGAUAGUUAAUUAACCAAAAAGGACUAAAUUGAAAAUAGUGUAAAAUUUGUUAAAUUGUGAUUAAAUAGCUUAAGUGAUUAAAAAGGAGGGAUUUAAAAGGCAAUUAGGCCCAAAUUAUAUGGGCUGGACGGUUGGGUAAGAAAAAUCAGCAGAAUGUAAGGAGAAACAGGGGCAAAAUUGGAAACUUAACAAAUUAAACAUAUAAAACAAAGACAAAAGUGAAAAAUCUAGAGAUCUGCUCACAAUUUAUCAGCAAAAAUGCCAUAGGAGGUCUGAAAGAAGCUGGUUUUUCAUAUAUUUGAAUCAUGUAAGUUUAAUUCUUGAUUAUUUCUUCUAAUUUUUGUGAUUUUGAUACUUUUACAAUUAGGUCCAACUAAUUAUUUCAUUAGUUUUUGAUUUCAUGGCUGAUUUUGAAAGUUACCAUUGAUGAGUGUUGGAUUUUUAUGAUGAAUAAACAUGGAAUUAAAGCUUUAAUUUUGUUAUAUGAUGAUUUUAUUAAGUAAUUUUGAUAGAAAUUGAUUUUUGGGACCUAAUUGUGAAAAAGUUUGGAAUUAGGGUUUGGUGUUGCGGUUUUGAAUAUGAAAGUCUAUGUAGUAGUCUAAAAUAGUUGGAAAAGGUGUUAAUUGAGAAAAAUUAGAUCAAUUGAGGGGUUAAUUGAGUAGGACCAAAUUGUAAAAACUGUAAAGUUUGAGGUAAAAGUGUAAUUUCGAAAAUUUAAGGGCAUAAAUUGUGAAGUGAAUUAGAAUAGAAUUAUAUGCUGAUGAAUGAAUAAAUUUGUAUUUUAGAUCGAGAACCCGAAGCAAGCCGAGGAAAAGAAAAAGUAGUUGAUUAGUCCCUGAACUUUUACAAAUUCUGCAAAUCGACCCAGGUAAGUUCAUAUGGCUGAAAUUUAAUGAUUAAAUGUUAAUUUCAUGAAUUAUGUAAUGUAUGAUGAAAUGUAUUUAGUGUUGAAAUGAGAGUAAAAUAAAAAUGCGAAAAUCGAAUAAAUGAUCAAAUUAAGCGGAACGCCGGAUUUGAGUACUUCUGAUCAAGAGACAAAGUGAUAAGUGGUAGCUUUAGCUACACUUAUCUGAUCAAGUGAAAAAGUGAUAAGUGCUACACUUAUCUGAUCAAGAGACAAAGUGAUAAGUGGUAGCUUUAGCUCACUUAUCUGAUCAAGUGAAAAAGUGAUAAGUGCUAUACUUAUCUGAUCAAGUGACAAAGUGAUAAGUGGUAGCUUAGCUACACUUAUCUGAUCAGGGCCAAAUGAUAAGUGAUCAUACGUAAGACCAUAGUUAUACUAUGGCCAAGUGAAAGUGAAGUACUCAAUUUUCCGUAACCGUUCCUUAAUUUUGAUCAAGGAUGGUAAGUGACAAAUAGGCCCAAAGAAAUUAUGGUAAAAGAAUAAGUAGUAGUGAGUUUAUACCAAGGAACUCUCCAAAGAUUGUGGUUGACAAGUAAACUUAGUAAUGGUGUAUAUUGUAUAAGUGUACAAAUGUUUGGUAAGAUUUAUGUUUGUGCCUAUGAACUUACUAAGCUUUUCUAUAAGCUUACAUGUGUGUGUUUAUUGUUUUUCUAGAUUAACGUAUUUAUACAUUCGGAGGAUCGGAUCUACUUCGAGAAUCACACUAUCCAGAUAUACUCCGGUAGAUUUUGUUAAACAACUUUUUGGAUUUAUAUGGCAUGUACAUAGAAUUGAAGUAAAAAGUAAUAGAAUGAAUGACUGAGUAUGCAAAGUAAAUUUGAAUGUGAUGGUUGUGUUAGAUAUUGAAAAAUACAUGUUUUUAGUUUGAAAUGGUUGAUUGGCUGAACUUCGUUAGUAUUCAAGUGAAGUAGUUGAAAUACUGGAAUUGGUUGUGAUUUGAAAUUUGCAGGGAAGGUUAGAUAAAUAUAAAGGGGUUAUAUUGAUUUUUUUUAAAAAUUUCAAUGGAAUAAUUUUUGGACAGCAGCAUUGAUGUAACUUUUAAAAAUCACCAAAAAUAGUGGAAAUAGAAUUAGAAGUUGAAUGAGAUAUGAAAUUAAAUCUGAAUGAGUCUAAUUUCACAUGAAAGAAGUAGAAUAAGAAAAAGAGUUAUAUAUUUUUAGAUAUUUGAAUUUUAGUGAAACAGGGCAAGAAUGUUUUUGAAGUCCCCUGUUCUGACUUUAGAAAUUUAGUAAAAAUUGUACAAAAGGAAUUAUGAAUUAUAAUUUAUAUGUUUAAAUUCCGUAAUGAGUAUAUUUUAAGUAGAAAUAAUUGGAACCACCAUAUGAAGUCUUUGCAAUGAGAUAAUUGAAUUUUAGCGACAAGAGGUCAGGAUAGUCAAUUAGUGAAAUAGGGGAGACUUCAACUAAUAAACUGUAUUAAUUUGCUAAACCAAAAAUUCUGAAAAAUUUAUGGUGAAUAUACAUAUGAGUCUAGUUUGAGGGAAAAUUUACGGAUCUAAAUUUUUAGUUUCGUAUCUUGAGUUAUAAUUAUUUUAGUGACUACUGCGCAUGUGGACAGCUUUGUUGUGAAUGGUGAAAUUAAUUUUUAAAGUAAAUUUUUAUGCCCCGAACUUUUAAGUUCAGUCAAGUAACGCCUUAUGCUCGACUCCGGCAACCGUCUUGGGUAAGGGGUGUUAUAAAUAAUUAUUCUUAAAUUCAUACAUUCUUUGUAUAUUAUUUUGUACCUACAAUAGGUCCCUAGAUAUUAACAACAUGAGUGACGUUGCUACAGACUCAGAAUUUCCUUUUAAACAAGACAUGUGUUUAGAGGGAUCCCAUGGCUUUGAAGAUGACGUAGACUGUGGCUUAUCUCUGAAUUUGUUAAGGAUGGUAAAACAAGAGGAGAAGCAAAUCCUACCUCACAAGGAAUCAAUGGAAAUUGUGAGCUCAGAAGGGGGAAAAGAGGUGAAGAUUGAGACUAACAUUGCCACAAAGACAAAGCAUGACCUCGUUGAGUUACUCCAAGAAUUUAAAGAUGUCUUCGCAUGGUCAUACCAGGAUACUCCCGGGUUAAGUACUGGCAUUGUAGUACACUACCUUCUUAUAAAAGAAGAUUGCAAGCCAGUUUAGCAGAAACUCUGAAGGAUGAUGCCUGAUAUUGUGCUAAAAAUAAAAGAAGAAGUUAAAAAGCAAUUUGAUGUUGGGUUCUUACAAGUGGUUAAAUAUUCAGAAUGAGUAGCCAACAUCGUCUCAGUCUCUAAAAAAGAUGGGAAAGUACGAAUGUGCAUAGAUUACAGAGACAUGAACAAGGCCAGCCAAAAAGAAAAUUUCCCAUUGCCUCACAUUGACACUUUGGUGGAUAAUACAGUAGGCUACUCACUGUUUUCCUUCAUGGACGACUUCUCUGGAUACAACCAGAUAAAGAUGCAUCCCAAAAACAUGGGAAAGACUACAUUCGUGACCCUAUGGGGAAUGUUUUGCUAUAAAAUGAUGUCAUUCGGAUUAAAGAAUGUGGGAGCGACGUAUCAAAGGGAAUGGUAACCUUGUUUCAUGACAUGAUGUACAAGGAAAUCGAGGUUUAUGUUGGCGAUAUGAUUGCAAAAUCCAGAACAGAAGAGGAACAUGUGUAGGCCCUAAGAAAAUUAUUCUUAAGACUGAGAAAGUUCCAGCUCAAGCUUUCCAACGAAAUGCACAUUCAGAGCUAGGUUAGGAAAGCUGUUAGGCUUCACAGUUAGUGAAAAAGGAAUCGAGAUCAACCCAGAUAAAGUCAAGGCGAUACGAGAUUUACCUCUACCAUGCACUCAGAAGGAAGCUCGAGGUUUCCUAGGAAGACUGAAUUACAUUGCUCGAUACAUUUCACAACUAACCGAAAAAUGUGACACCAUAUUAAAAUAAAAAUAGAUUAAAUUGUAAGUAAAACAUAAUUUAAACAUAUGAAUACAUCAAAUUAAUAAUACUAAAUGAAUACAGUUAUUUAUGAUGAUGUUGUUGCCAAUUCCUAAUUUGGUGUCUAGUUAAUUUGUGACAUCAUAAAUUUAAGUGAUAAAUUUAAGGUUUUAUGUAUUGAUGUGGAUUCAAAUAUCACCAUAAUUUUUGUAAAUAAAAAACUAAUAAGAUAACUUAUAUUAAGUACGAAAGGGUAUUUUUAUAAUUUCUCUAAUCGAGUUGGUGCCCGGUUGACUCAUGACACUAACUCAAUCAGAAGCUUUAAUAAUAAUAUAGAUAUUCAUGUUAAAAAAACAAAAAAAAAGUACUUUAGUUCCAAAUAAUUAUAUAACAAGUAAAUUUAUAAUUGAUGAAUAAAUUUAUAAAUAAUAUAUUUAUAUGAUCUAAUAUAUUAUAUUUAUAUUAAUUAUAUAUCAUCUACAAACUUUGAAGAUCAAUUUAUUAAGUAAAAAUGAAAUUGUUAACACUAAAUCAAUUUUUAGAUUUUGUAUAGAUGAUUUAGUGAUGAUAAAAACAUUAUUAACACUAUUUUUUAAUUAACAAAAAAUUAGUGAUAUAUUUAAAUUAUAUUUAUCAUUUAUUAUUUUUAAUAAUAUUUUUUAAUUAUAUGAAGUAAAAUUAUAUUGUAUACUAAAUAUGGUACAUAUACUCUAAUUAUAACUUGAAAUUUUAUUAUAUAAAUUAAUAUAAAUUUGAAUAACAAAAUAAAAAAAAACUAAUUAGAAUAAUUUUAAAAAACAUUAUUUAAAAGUAGUUAAAAAUCACGUGCAACAGGUGAGAUCAAUGGUCUUUAGAGAAGAAAUGUUGAAGAUCAAAGUUGGAAUCUGGCCUAUAAGGCCUUUAAUUGCUUUAAUAUUAAGCAGUUCCAAACCAAGAAGAUUACCGAUUUCCUCAGGAAUUUGACCUGCACACAUGGUCGAAAAAUCAAUGUGUCAAACUACCUAUUUUGUUAGCAUAAGUCAAAGAGGUUUUCUUUUCUAUUCUACAUAAUUUGCAGAUGUUAGAUUUUAAUAUUUUUAAGCAUAUUUGUUUUCAUCAAAUUAACUAUUUUGAACUAUUUUGCCUUGAAUGAAAUAAAAUGCUCUUACUUUUGUUAUCUAUUACUAAUCAAACUCUUUUAUAAAAAAAAUACUUUAAACUAAAGAAACCAAGAAAAUUCAAUACCUUCUAGGUUAUUCAACCCCAAAUAUAAUUCUUUGAGUCGUGUCGGAUUUCCAAUACUUCUUGGAAUGAUCCCCAUCAAUUGAUUAUAGGAAAAUGACAAAAUUUUAAGGUUGUUGCAUUUGCUUAUACUUGACGGAAUGUUACCAUAUAAUUCAUUCCGACUCAAGUAAAGCCCUUCAAGCUUGGAAAGAUGUGACACAUAUCAUUAGGCAAGCUACCUGAUAGGCUAUUGUUGGAGAGAUCAAUGGCCUUCAGAGAAGAAAUGUUGAAGAUCGAAGUUGGAAUCUGACCUGUAAGGCCUUUAAUUGCUUUAAUAUUAAGCAGUUCCAAACCAAGAAGAUUACCGAUUUCCUCAAGAAUUUGACCUGCACACAUGGUCGAAAAAUCAAUGUGUCAAACUACCUAUUUUGUUAGCAUAAGUCAAAGAGGUUUUCUUUUCUGUUCUAUAGUAAUUUGGUGAUGUUAGAUUUUAAUAUAAUUCAGCACAUGUUUUUCAUCAAAUGAAAUAAAAAGUUUUUCCUUUUGUUAUCUAUUACAAAUCAAGCUCUUUUAUUAAAAAAAUACUUUAAAUUCAAGAAAUCAAGGAAAUUAAUUACCUUCUAAAUUAUUAAACCCCAAAUAUAAUUCCUGGAGUCGUGUUAGAUUUCCAAUACUUCUUGGAAUGAUCCCCAUAAAUUGAUUAUGGGGCAACAACAAAUUUUUAAGGAUGUUUCAUUUGCCUAUGCUUGACGGAAUGUUACCAGAUAACUCAUUGCUAUGCAAGUGAAGCCCUUCAAGCUCGGGAAGAUGUUGACACAUAUCAUUAGGCAAACUACCUAAUAGGCUAUUCCUGGAGAGAGCAAUAGUCUUGAGAGAAAAAUGUUGAAGAUCGAAGUCGGAAUCUGAUCUGUAAGGCCUUUAAUUGCUUGAAUAUUAAGCAUUUCCAAACUAAAAAGAUUACCGAUUUCUUCAGGAAUUUGACCUGCAGACAUAGUCGAAACAUCAAGGUGUUAAAUUUCCUAUUUUGUUAGUGUAAAUCAAAGAGGCUUUUUAUUUUUUUUCGUUAUGAAAUAAUAUGGAUAUGUUCGAUUCUAAUCAUAUUUAAGUAUAUAUUAGUUCUUGAAAGAAUGAGUUCUUAUUUUUGGUAUUUAUAUUGCAAAUAUAUAUUUUUUUAAAUUUAAAAGAAGGGAGGGGGCAAAUGUGUUUAAACUAAAGACAUCAAGGAAAAGGCAUACCAAGUAUAAUUGUUUAAGUUGUGUCAAAUUCCCAAUGCUUUUUGGAAUGAUCCCACUAAAUUGAUUAAUAGACAAUUCCAAAAUUUGAAGGUUGCAGCAUUUGUCUAUACUUGAUGGAAUAGAACUUGAUAAUUCAUUUCUACUCAAGUAAAGCUCUUUCAGCUUGGGAAGAUGGACACACAAAUCAUCGGGCAAGCCACCAGAAAGACUAUUAUCACAAAAAUGAAUCCUUUUCAAAGAAGAAAUGUUAAAGAUGGAAGAUGGAACCUGGCCAGAUAAUUGAUUGAAUCCCAAGUUCAAGAUCUCUAGAUUGGACAAGUUGACAAGUGUUUGAGGGAUCGUGCCUGUGAAGUUAUUAUUUCUCAUUUCCAACCUUUGAACUCUGUGCAAGUUCCCAAGCCAUGGUGGAAUUUCCCCAUUAAGACGGUUGUAGCUUAAUCGAAUGAUCCUCAAACGAUGCAAUUGGCCUAAUUCUUUAGCCAGAUGGCCGUAGAAAUUGUUGUUGCUCAAGUCGAUAGAAAAUAGAAAUGAAAGAUUUCCAAGGUGUGGAGGGAUAGUACCCCUAAGAUUCAUGUUUGUAAGAUUAAUCAAAGCUACAACUCUUUCAUGGAUGAUGCCACAAGAAACACCAACCCACUUACAGACAGAGGUAGAGUUCGUCCAAUUGUUUGCCAACACAUUUUGAGGAUCGACAAUGCGAUCUUUAAACUCAAAGAGUGCAAACUGAUCGGAGUUGAGAUUCCGGACUGUCAUAGCCAAGGAAACAAUAGAACAUUGUAUGAAUAAAAGUGAAAGAAGAUGAAAGCAAGUGUUGUAGUUCAUGAUGGCAAGACGAAAUAAGCCAGGAAAAGGGAAGUUGAAUUGAUGAAGAAAUAGCCAGCCAACAUGCUUAAAUAGGCUUCAACCCUUGCACACUUCUCAUACAUAAAGUUCGCUGCCAUUACAACAAGAAAACUCAUAUCUCCAUUCGUACCUAUCCAUACUUUAUUUGACUAACUUUUCCCUAACAAGUGUUCAGUAAGGAGAUAAAUCAGUUUGGAGCUAUUCACCGGCUUCUCCAAUCUUGGUUUCAAACUCCUAACCCAUCAAUUCACUUUAAUUGAAACGAUAUACACGAGUCUUUCGGCUUAUAUUUUUAAUUUAAUUUUUGUUACUUUUCAUAAUAUUUUUUGAGAAAUCCAAAUAUUCCAGUCUGAAAUUUCUUCAUUGCCACGUCUAUCUCCUGGGUAAGUCCGUGGUUAGGCAGCCCACUUUGGGAGCAGGAUUGUAAUUGUAAUUCUAUCCGACUCAUUUUACUAUUUAGAAAUAUAAAAGUAAUAUUAUAUUAUUUUUUAUAUUUUUAUAAAUUUAAUUUUAAUUAUAAUUUUUAAACAAUAAAACGAGUCAUUUGUAUUUGCCUAGUCUAAAUUGAAUCAGGAGUCAAAAAAAUUUUAAUCAUAAUUUACUAUUAUUUUAAUUAAUUAAAAUUUAACCUACUACAACUAGUAGUUGCAGAAAAAAUGUCAUUCCUUUAGAAAAACGAAAAUCCUUUAGAAAAAUGAGAACUUAUGAAGCAUUCAAUAAGAGUCAUUGGAAUAAAUGGUAACGAAAUCAUAAUUCAAUAUAAAGCUAAAAAAUGUACCAAUCUAUAUAAAUAAUGUAAGAUUUGUGAUACCUAAAUUAUUAUAUUUUCCAUAAAUAUAUGAAGAUAUUUUAUUAGGAAAUAAUUUUAUAUAUAAAAUUUUUUAUUUUCUUUUGAUAGAAAUUUAAUUAUGUUAUCUGUAGAAAAAAAUAUUUAUAGAAAUAUUAUUAGUAGAAAAUCAUAAAUUUGUGUGUGGCAAAAAAAAUUCACCACCAAGAAAGGGGCAAAUUAAACAACUUGAAACAAGUCAUUGGUUGUUUAAAAUAUUAGAUAAUAAUUUCAGUGAAGAAUCAUUAAAAUUAUGACAAAAUAACCCUAGAUAUUGUAGUAUUAAAUUGGAAAAUCUCAAUAAUAUUAUUAGAGUAAAACCUAUGAUCUAUCUAAACAAGAUAUAGAAGAUUUUGAUAUACAAAUUAAGGUUAGAAAUCAUGCGGAAAUAAAAAAGAAAAAAAAGCUAGUAUGGUCAUUAAUUAUAAAAGAUUAAAUCAAAAUAUUAUUUUUUUAUAGUUACUUGAAUUAAUCAGGCUAAACAAACAAAAUAUUUUAGUAAAUUUGACUGCAAAUCAGGAUUCUAGCAAAUCAUGAUAACAGAAAAGUCCAAACCUUUAACGGCUUUUAGUGCACCCAAUGGACAUUACCAAUGGAAAGUGAUGUCAUUUCAAUUAUGUGAUGCACCACAAAUCUUCCAAAGACGAAUGGAUUUUAUAUUUAAUAAAUAUAAAAAAAUUCUAUGUAGUCUACAUAGAUGAUAUUUUUUAUAUUUUUAGAUACACUAGAAUUACAUAAGAAACAUUUAAAUAUUAUUUCUUAAGAAUUCAUAAAAUAUAGAAUCAUAUUAAACCCUAAAAAUAUAGAGUUAGAAAAAAGAGAGAGAAUUUUUAUAAUAGUGGAAAUAAAAAAUUGUCCUCAAAAGAUUGAAGAAAAAAAGAACUUCCAACAAUUUCUAAUAUAUUCCUCCCAAAUUUUCAGUUUCAAUUUUAUUACAGAAUUUCUUUGCCGACAAUAAGAAAUUAAGAGCGCUCUUUAAGUUGAAUAUAGUCCGUCAGAUAUGGCUAUCUAUAACAUGGAACCUUUGGUUUUCAAGCUGAAUAGGAGAAUUGAUUCACUUGAUAAGUAUGAAAAAUUGAAACUGCUAAAUUUAAGUGCACUAACUCUGGAUAUCAUCAUUAUUUUUCUGUACAUUAAAGUACCUGUUUGAUAUGCGAUUUCUGCCUCAAACUAUCAACAUCUUUAACAUCCUUUUGCUAUAGUUAGCAUGGGUACUUCCUUUUAGAUUAACAGUUAGGUUUGAACUGUGAAUUAGAUUUCUGUGGCUGCUGGGAUUGAAGAAGUUAGUAUGCGAAUGACAUUGGACAAAUUUGGCAAAGUCUUCUCCAUCAGUGAAGAAAACCCCUUGGCGUAUGAAAAAUGUUCACCAUCUUAGACAUUUGUUUUCUUAUUGUAAGAAUAUUUUUAACAUUGUAACUUUUAACAUUAUUGUAAGAAUAUUUUGAAUUAUACUUCAGUUAUCAAUUUAUAUCAUAUAUCUUUUGUUGAAUUUGAAGUAUAAUUUAUAUUUGCUGUUUUUGGUUAGAUUUCAUGCUAUAGGAAGGGUUGUAUAUGGAUAGAAAUUGAAUGUUACAAAUCUGCCAAAGUUAGUGGCGUUUUUUCAUAAGAGCUGCUAAAGAAUGCUAUUUUUGGCGGUGUUUGUAAUAAAAGAGCCGCUAAAGGUCAUGUUCUUUAGCGAUGUUUGUGGGUAAAGCGCCGCUAAAGAUCAUGUUCUGUAGCGGUGUUUGUGGAUAAAGCGCCGCUAAAGAACAUGACCUUUAGCAGCGUAUUUUCACAUAAACGCCGCAAAAUUUAGCGGCUUUGUCUAUAGCGACUUUUUUUGCAGCGCUUUAAGUUUUAGCGGCGCUUUUAGGCCUAAAAAAGGGCCGCUAAAAGCCUGUUUUGCUGUAGUGAGCAUAUUUACAUUUUCGUCCCAAUUUCAACUAACACCCCAUCUAUUUCCCACUUCCCUUUUUCGGGCAAUUUCAACUAACACCUUCAUAUCAAACAUAACUAUUUUUCAAUUUUUCUUCUUUAUUUCAUUAAUAAAAUUAUCAAUCUAUUUGUUUUUAAAUAUAUAAUUUCAUUAAUAUUUUUUAAAUUAUAAUAUAAGAGUUGUUGUUUAUUUAUAGUUUUAUUACAUUAUUUACUCUCUCUUUUCUAUCAAGUUUUUUAAAUUAUAAUAUAAGAUUUAUUUUAUCAAUUUGUGGCUUAUCCAGUAUUCAUCUAUUUUAAUAAUAACUUGAGUUCCAGUCAUUAUCAUACCAGAAAGAGUUCCAUUUAUUCUUUAUCGUAAAUUUUAUAAAAAAAUAUACAUUUUAUUAUAAUACUAUAUGUGUUACGAAUAAUAUUUUAUUGUGGAUGCCCAUAAUUUUCAAAGUUGUAACCUCUAAUGUAGUAACCUUAAUGAAAUUAUGAGGCUUUUAUAUUGUAAUCAAGCCUCUAUUUAUUCUUUGUAACUUAAACAGAAGCAUAUUUUCUAUUAUAUUGAUAUUUUUUAUAGAUAUAUAUAUAUAUAUAAGGAAUCAAAUAAAAAGUUAUUUACCUUUCUAUUAUAUUGAUAUUUUCUAUUUGAUUUGUUCUUUUCUUUCACUAUUCCAUAAUAUAUUAUCAGUACGAUUUUAACCAAGAGUAACAUGUUAUUAGAUUGUGUCAAAAUUUUGUUGAGAAUCAUUAGAUUGUUUCCUUUUUCUUCUAUUUAGCCCCAAAUUGCACCCCUACACAAAAUUCAACAAAAACAUGGAAAAAUUAGUGGUGCACUCUCAUAAAUUAACCAAUUUAAUUACAUAAAAUAUGUAACUUUAGCAUUUUAUCAAUCAUGUUCUUUAGCGGCAUUUGUGGGUAAAGCGCCGCUAAAGGUCAUAUUCUUUAGCAGCGUUUGUGAUAAAAGUGCCACUAAAUAUCAUGUUCUUUAGCGGCGUUUGUGGAUAAAGCGCCGCUAAAGAACAUGACGUUUAGCAGCAUUUUUUUACAUAAACGUUGUAAAAUUUAGCGGCGUUGUCUAUAGCGACGUUUUUUGCGGUGCUUUCAAAUAGUUUUAGCGGCGCUUGUAGGCCUAAAAAAAUGCCGCUAAAAGUCUGUUUUGCUGUAUGAGCAUAUUUACAUUUUCGUCCCAAUUUCAACUAACACCCCAUCUAUUUCCCACUUCCCUUUUUCGGCCAAUUUCAACUAACACCUUCAUUUCAAACGUAAUUGUUUUUCGAUUUUUCCUCUUUAUUUCAUUAAUAAAAUUAUCAAUCUAUUUGUAUUUUAAAUAUAUAAUUUUAUUAAUAUUUUUUAAUUAUAAUAUAAGAGUUUUUGUUUAUUUAUAGUUUUAUUAUAUUAUUUACUCUCUUUUUUCUAUCAAGCUUUUUAAAUUAUAAUAUAAGAUUUAUUUUAUCAAAUGGUGGCUUAUCGAGUAUUCAUCUAUUUUAAUAAUAACUUGAGUUCCAAUCAUUAUCAUACCAGAAAGAGUUCCAUUUAUUCUUUAUCGUAAAUUUUAUAAAAAAAUAUAUAUUUUAUUAUAAUACUAUAUGUGUUAGGAAUAAUAUUUUAUUGUGGAUGCCCAUAAUUUUCAAAGUUGUAACCUCUAAUGUAGUAACCUCAAUGAAAUUAUGAGGCUUUUAUAUUGUAAUCAAGCCUCUAUUUAUUCUUUGUAACUUAAACAGAAGCAUAUUUUCUAUUAUAUUGAUAUUUUUUUAUAGAGAUAUAUACAUAAGGAAUCAAAUAAAAAGUUAUUUACCUUUCUAUUAUAUUGAUAUUUUCUAUUUGAUUUGUUCUUUUCUUUCACUAUUCCAUAAUAUAUUAUCAGUACGAUUUUAAUCAAGAGUAACAUUUUAUUAGAUUGUGUCAAAAUUUUGUUGGACUUCAAGUAUUGGAAUUUAAUUGUUUAAGUUAAGAAUCAUUAGAAUCAAUGGCUAUUUGAGAUAUGCUUGAGGAUGAUCUCAUUCUCUUCAUCACAAAGGUGGAGGUUAGAAAAUCUUUAUGUUUAAACAUUUAUAGCUUUAAAGUUAUUUUAACCUCUUAUUGUGACCUUAUAAUAUUUUGUAAUUUUUUGUAUUAUGGUAUAUAAAAAAAAUCUAACCAUAGUGAUUGAUUAGUAAUAUGAAUUUGUUAUUUGUUAUGUUUAAUAUAUAUUUUAUUUAUACUUAUUCAUUUUAUUUUUAUAUGAGUAAAUGAAGUGUUUGAAGAUUCGAAAUUUUUAUCAUCCAAGUUGAAAAUAAGUGCAAAAGUGUACAUUAUUUAAAAUAAAUUACGCAUUCAUUAAUGUUAUAUGAUAAAAUCAUUACAUGUUCUAAAGAACUAAUAUUGCAUCAAACUGUAAAAAGCUCUUGAAGAGUUAAUAUUUUACCUCCUUGUGAUACAAAAUCAUAUACAAUAUGAUAUUAUUUUUCAAAUCGAGUAGAUAUAUGUUGAGGGAAAUCUUUAUGUGGUUUACAUUAAAACCAUGGAUAGAAAUGACAUGAGAUACUCGUGUAUUUUUAUUAUAAAUAUUCCUUGAAGGAAGACACUUCACUUGUAUGAUUGACAUAUGAGAUAGUGGCAAGAAGUUCAUAGUGUUGGUAUGGUCGUCUAGAUCAUCUCAAAUCAAUAAUGAUGCAAAAUAAUUUGAAGAGAAUUUAUAUGAUUUUAUUGAAGAAUGAGAAGAUAUUUUCAUUUUGAUAAUUGUCAUCAAUACUAGUUCUUUGGAAAAAAAAUAUUGAACUAACAUAAAGUUAGAGGUUGGUUGCAUUUUUUGAUGAUAUCCAAAUAAUAUAUGAGCUCAUGUAUCACAUGUAUGCAACCCAAAGUUUACAGUAUUAUUUCUUGAAAUAAUUUGAUUCUACACAAUCUCUAUAGUAUGCAAUUUGUGCUAACAACGUUGGUGCAUUAUAUCCUAAGCUUGAUUUUCGUAGUUUUAGCUGAGAUAAUAUUAAGUUGUCUAUGCCUAUAUAUGUUAUACUUAAUGGUUAGCAAAAUUGUGCCUCCAUUUAAUUGCUUAACCAUUAAUAUAAGAAUAACUUUAAAAUAAGCAUGUAAUUUUAUUUGCAUAGAGUCAACAUGUAAGAAACAUUUGCCCCAUGAGAAUUGGCUUUCAUUUAUAAGCCAAUAGGUUUCAUAUGACUAUUUGGAUGUAAAAUAUCUAUUUUAUAUUCCACCAUAAUGCACUAAGAUGGUCCAUCAAGUAUGAAGUUGAGAAAAUUUAGAAUUUUUAUUUGAUGGUAAAAGUUGAAAAGAGAUAUAUACUUAUAAUUUUGAAAAAAAUAGUCAUGUUGCAAAUUUUUCUCAAUAUUAGGGGGAGACAAGUUGGACAAAUAAGGAUAAUUAUGUCAUCACUUUUUGUGAUCCCUCACUAAUAUUAUGUGCACAAAGUUUGAAGGAAAAAAGUAUUUGCUAGACAUGUUUAGUGAUGACACUUAGAGAUUGUAUAUACUAGAUGAUACAUAUACCAGCUAAAAUGUUCCAAAUAAUUAUGAGUCCUAGAAGGACAUAGUGAUAAAAAUAAUUUUUGGGCACGCUAGAAGGAUAAAAAACUAGUUCAUUCUAUAAAUCAAAAAAUUCUUGAAAGAAAAGAGUAAGAAAUGAAGCUGGCCACACAUUAAAGGAAACGAGUACUCAUGAAGAGACCUAAGGCAUAACUUUUAAUAAAACCCCAAAAGAGGUUCAAUACAUGGAAUUAUGAAUAUAAUAAGAUAUCUCGAUUAGUUAUAUCAUAACUAAAGAUGAUGGGGUUGAUAAAAGGAAAUUGUUGUUAACAACGAUAAUCUAAGUAGAACAUUUCAAUAUUAUGGUAAAAUGAGUAUUUUGAAUGAAAAUAUACUUGAAAGUAUUUAGAUGGGAACAACUCAUCAAAAUAAAUAGACGUUUCUAUUAUAACUUAUGAAAUGUGUCUCGGACAUGAAGUCCAAACAUUCGACAGGUGUAAAGCCAAGUGGAGUAUAUGUUAGCAUAAUAGUGAAAAAAUACAAAUCAUAAUAUAUAAAAUUGACUUGUAAGACAAACUUUCCCAAGACACUUGAUUUUGAUUAUGAAAAAUGAUUAAUUUGUGAUCUUAUCAAUUGAACAUACUUUGUAUAAUCAACAAAUUAUUAAUUAACCUCAUUUAACCAAUUUCCUUCAACACAUUUCAAAUCAAAUUAAUGUGUUGAGCACGCCCUUAACCCUUUUUCUUGAUUCAUUGCAUAGUCUAUUUCCAAGUACCAUAAUCAUCAACAUUUCAAUAUAUAAAGUCAUAACAUAAUGAAUCAUAGUUAGAAUUUUUUUUACCCUAUUAACCAAGUAUGGAACAAAAAUAAAAACCUAAUUUGUCAAGCUCAUUCAAUCAGCUUAUAUAUUAUAAGAAGAGCCUAAGUAUAAAUCCUAUACAUGAUUUCAAAUUCAACUAUUUAUAUUUGAGAUUCAAUUUAAAAUUCAUACUGAAAUUAUCAAAUUAACUCGUAAGCUACUCACGCUAAACAUUAAGGUACUCGAAUUCAAGUGGCUAGAUAUCAUAAACACUUUUAGCUUGUAAAACUAUUUCUAAGGGUCAGCCCAGAAUCAUGGUUGAACCCAAAAUCUGGUAACAAAAAUUUAAUUGAGCCAUCAGCCUAAAACAAAUAAGGCUUAAAAGGUUGGCACCCGAACAAUCAAAGAUAAACACCACCAUAUGCCACUCCCUGAAUCCGAUACAUACAAUAACACCCUUCACCACUUUUAUUCUUCUCCUUUUUUUUAACCUCAAUUUGGAUGGUCGCAUUUCUCUUUUUAGUGCUUUAUAGGGUUUGGGCUUUCAGAAUCCUCAGAGAUGCAAUUCAUGGAUCCCUCUAAGAAAUGCAAGCUUGAUGAAAAUGGUAUUAUUUCAACGGCAUCAGAACCUGACCCAAUCACCAAACUAACCCCACAAGAUGGCCGCAAGCUAAUCGAGCAAUUUAUCGUCGAUCAACUCCUUGACGUCCUCCAAGAUGCUGUUUGUUGUCACCUUGAUGUUCUUUCCGCCGUACACUCUAUUGCCGAUCAAGAUCCAUCUCAAAGGAAGCUUUUCAUCCGUGGUUGGGUUGGGAUACUACAACCCAACCCAACCCACAUUAGCAUACUACCAUGCGGUAACUUCUAGUGAUUUCUGUCUGUAACAUUAGACAGGUUAACAGUUAAAUCGUUCAACUGAAAGAUUUCUUUGAAGGAAGAGGUCAAUUGAUUUUUUUUGGAAUCAUUGUGUACUCAGUUGCAUUUAAGACGGGUAUCAUUCAUAAAGUAUAUAUCUACAUCAAGAAUGGUAGCCUCUUAUAUUAUAUUCAUGUAUUUAUUUUGCAUCUUUAAUUAUAAUAGGAUUUUUUUUGUUUAUUUAUAGUUUUAAUUAUAAUAUUUUUUAAAUAUGCCAAAGUAAAUUAUGUACCAAUUUUAAACUUCUCCUAGGUAAUUUAACGUAAGGGCAUUUAUGUUAUUUUACCACUUAUGAUAAAACUAACCUAAUUUUAGAUCUAAGUGUUUACCAACCUUCUUUUAGUCAAAUUAUGCAAGCCUAAAAUUUUUAGCUUAAUUUGAGUUUGUUUACUAUGUCUAAUUCAAGUUUUAUUAUUAAGAACUAAAUUGUAACUUAAACAAAUUAGAAUACCAAUUUAAAGAGACAAAAAUUCAAAGCCCCAAAACCCACACGGGCAUGUGGGUAAGUGACACAGGCGUGUGGAAACUGGAGCUAUCACACACGGGUGAGUGGGACUGAAAAAUAUGAAAUAAAUUAAUCCAUUUAAAUUUCCAACAACCAUGCUAUACUACCAAACCAAAUAAUGUUAGAAGCUUUGAAUAGGGGCGAAUCUUAAAAAAAAAUAGAAGAAUUAGAAUUAAAUUAUAAAAUUUUGAGAAGUUGUCAUGUAUUAAUUUAUUAUUUUUUAAAGGGUCUUAAUAGAUUUUUUUUCCCCAUUUUGGUUUGGCCAAUACCCCUGUCUGCCUCUUUCAAUUUGCUUCAACCCUUAGCCCAAUAUUCGAUUUGUUGUGGAAGUUUGACGCAUAAAAAUUCCUUUUUUAGAGGUUUAAAUUAUAAAUUUUUAUUAACAAAAUAUAAAAGAAAAAAACAUGUGUAGACAAGCCAAGAAACCUUUGGGAUCAUACAGGUGAUUUUGAGAUGUUCAUGGUUAUUUUGGUGGAGAGGGUAAAAAAGAAACAAAUGAUUCAUUAUAUAUGAUAUAAUUAUGAAAUUCAAGCCAUAUAUUGUAUGUUUCAUCCAUACAAAUUUCUUGUAGCAUUAAAUGACUCGUAGGCUUGCUGAAUUUCUUUGAAAGGCCCAAAGGCAAUUUAACAUUCACAAAAUAAUCUCUAAAUAGUGUAAAGACAAAUCAAAUCCACAGUAGCAUUAGAGUUGAUUAAGCUAAGCAUUGGCAAAUAUUACUUUGAUUUUGCAUGCAAUAUUGGCAAAACCCCCUCUUACAUUAGAAAAACAACAUAAUCCAUGAAACAUUGAUAGCCCAAUACAAAUUUCAUCGAGAAAAAAGUCUCUUUGUUUUGUAGAACAUGAUAGUAAAGAUGUGGAGUUUCGUUCUUCUUAUUGGCCUCCUUUAGUUUUCCUUGAUCAACAACCACUAGCCAAAAACACAAUUAGAUUAGAUUAUGAAUGAUACUUUCAACUAUGACAAUAUUAAAUACAAACCACUCUAAAUAACUCUAAAUAAAUGGAAAGCAGCAAAUUACCAGACGAGGCAAGCUAGCUCAAUUAAGACCAUUGUGUUAUACUUGUCUCUGAAUUGAAAAAUUUAGAAGGAAAUAAAGAGAAAGACUUAGAAAAUACUUGAAAACAGAAAAAAAAAUUAUGUCAUUUAAAAUAAAAAAUUUCUAUUCAAGCCAUUUAAAAUUUGUAAGAUUUUUAAAAUUUUAAAAUGAUAAAGGUAAAAUUGUACUUUGGCACCCCAAAAAUGAUAAAACUUUGAUUUAAUUAUUUAAAAAUUAUAAAAAUAUAGGCUAUUAAAAUGGUGAAAUUAUAUUUUUACUAUAGUAAAAAUUACAAUUUAAUUUCACCCCUAAAAGGAUUUUCUGGCUUCGCACCUAAUAAAAUCUUUGGCAAAAGACUAAAAUAAAAUUAUACCAUGAAUGGAAAAAGAAACUAAUAAAAUCCAAUCUAACAAAGAAAAUAACUUGAUGUCCAAAAGCUACCAUAAACCGUAAUUCAUGGGAAGGCUUGUUGCUUAUUUUAUUGGUUUCCAUUUUGAAAGAAGUUUGAAUUUUGAAGAGAGCCUACUACGUGAAAGCAAAAGAAAAAAAAAUAGUUUAUAUGAUUAAAAUUCCAGAAUAGAUUAAAAAUGUUGAAUUAAAGAUAAAAUUAAGUGUGAAUUAAUAACCACAAGUGUACUCUUUACUCACCAUCUCUGUUAAAAAUGUUGGAUGUUGUUUAGCAACCUUUGUUUGAUUUUCUUCAGCUCAACCACAACAUCUUUCAUAUCUUUUCUUUCUUCUGGUAACUCAGCUGAACAAUUCAAAGCCAACUCCAUGAUAGAUGAAAUACAAUUUGCUUUAACAACAAUGUACUCAUCCUCUCUUCUUAAUAAAUCAACAUCUGCAAUUUCUAUCGCUCCUUUAGGCAAUGAUCUUUCCAUCCAAUGCCUUAUACUCUCUUCUUCAACAAAAACCUUAUCAGUUGGCUUUUUCUUUGUGAAAGUUUCUAUAAGGACGAUCCCAUAACUAUAGACGUCAGAUUUUAUAGAAACAAUUCCUGCUGAUCCAAAUUCUGCAUUUCAAGUAUAAUUAGAACAUCAUUCAUCCUCAAUUAUUUCUAAAACGCUUAUUCAAAUAUCUAUCCACAUACACGUGAAACAAAAAUAUAAAAUACAAAUUAGGAAAAUAAUCAUACAAAAAUAAAAAAAAGAAUUCACCUGGUGCCAUAUACCCAAUAGUUGCAAGAGUCAUGGUUUGCUUCAUUACUUCACCUUCUCCCAACAAUUUGGCAACGCCAAAAUCUCCAACAUGUGCAACCAUGUCUUCAUCUAGUAAAAUAUUGCUUGGUUUUAUGUCACAAUGAAUUAUAGGUGUUGGAUGUCCAUUGUGGAGGUGUUCUAUAGCUACCGCAACAUCUAUCAUUAUGUCGACCCUUUGUAUGAUACCAAGGAAACAAUUUUCAGAAUGUAACCAUUUCUCAAGGUUUCCAUUAGACAUGUAAUCAAGCACCAAGGCUUUGAAGUCAACACUUGAGCAGUAAGUAAUGACCUUCACAAUAUUACGAUGAACUAUAUUAAGCAUAGCAUCACAUUCAAUGUCAAAACUCCUAAAUGCUCCCUCUGUUUGCAAAUUGAAAACUUUUAUUGCAACUUCCAUUCCAUCUGAAAGCCUCCCUUUAUAUACAUAUCCAAAACUCCCUGAACCAAGCGUAUUGCUUUCCUCAAAUCCAUUAGUUGCUCGUGAAAGUUCAGCAUGUGAAAUUCUUCUCAGUGUCUUCAAAGACAACAAAUCAUCUUUAACUGGUAGAGCUGUACUCCUUUGGCAUCUUCUAUACAUAAUAGUUAAGACUAUUAGUACUAGGACAAUACCAAUUGUUGGUAAACCAUACCUAAAAGCAUGCAAUAUAAUCAUUUGGGAGUUUUUGUGGAUGUCAUUUUUGCAAGGUGGGACUAGCAAUCUAGGUGGACCACAAAGUGCACAAUUAUUCAUGAAUGAUGUGCUAGAAAAGUUUGAAAAACAUCCUUUGCUGGGAAUUUCCCCUUCAAGUCUAUUGAAAGACACAUUAAAAUACUUUAGAUAUAAAAGCUUUUCCAAAGAUUUGGGAAUGACUCCAGAGAGAUUGUUAUUGCAUAAAUCCAAGAAUUCCAAACUAAUCAACCC
This 57730-nucleotide long non-coding RNA is filed under the name Gossypium barbadense (sea-island cotton). RNAcentral describes it as "long non-coding RNA (GBAR_LNC016635)". Lineage: Eukaryota; Viridiplantae; Streptophyta; Magnoliopsida; Malvales; Malvaceae. The record is from RNAcentral.